RNAcentral lists this long non-coding RNA (57183 nucleotides) under Coffea arabica (coffee). Its description in RNAcentral is "long non-coding RNA (CARA_LNC004233)". Lineage: Eukaryota; Viridiplantae; Streptophyta; Magnoliopsida; Gentianales; Rubiaceae. The record is from RNAcentral.
UUUUUUUUUUUUUUUUUUGUAAAGAGUAAUUUAACACAAAUGAUAAUAAACAUAAAUAACAAAAAUAAUUUAAUUAACAUUGGGCAAAAUAAAUAAACUAGAAGCAACAAAGUGCAACUUCCAUUUUCCUUUUUUCAUUUUUCAUUUUUCAUUGUUUUUCUUCUUUUUUUUUUCCUUUUCAAAAUAACUUAACAAAAAUAAGUAAGAUGCUAAAAGAUUGAUUUUAAAAGACAUAAAACAUAUUUUUUGGAACACUUUUCUUUUUCCUUUGAGAAAUUCUAGCUAAAAUGGCUAAAAUAACUAAAACUAAAAGUAAAUAAAACUAAAUGUGACAAUUAAAAAUAGAACAAAUAAAAACGAAUAGUAAAUAAAUAAAUAAAUAAUAAAACACCAAAAAUUUGGUGUCUACACCAACCAUGCAAUUCUUUUUUUUUUUCCAGAAAAAGAAGAGAAUCAAAGAGGGGAAAGCACUAUACAUCUCCCCUCCCCACCCCUAUUUGCCUUCUUGGCCAAAAACAUGAAGAAAAACUCACACUUUCGCAUCAAUUUUGAGCCAUAUGAUGAAUUUAUUGUUGAGUUUUUCUAGCCUUUUUUUUCCCAAAAUUGACCUCCUAGCAUAAAUGUUUGCUUUUUUAUUAUUGAUUGUUUUGUAAGUUUGAAAGAAUUAAGAAGAAGCAUAGCAAAGUAAACAUCUAGUGUUUAAGGUGUGUGAUCAUCUCUUACAAUAGUAACUUGCUUUGUGUUUGAUGAUUUGCUUCUAAAGGUAGCUUUACCACUACACUGGUUUAGUUUUCUGAAAAUUUACGUGUCCCAUUGUUAUGGAGUAUUAGAUGAUUUGAGAGAUGUUCUUUAGCUUACUGUUUGGUCCUAAACAAAAAUGAUUUGACUUUUGCCUUUGUGUUUGUAUGCUGAAUGAUCCUUUAAUGUCUUGCACAGGCUCGAACUAUCUUUAAAUUUCAUUGGAAAUAAUACUUUGAUAGACCUAGAAACAUUAAUUUCAUCGAUUGUUUUUGACUUUUACUGCAUUGUCAUGUUAUUGACUAUCAUAGUUAGGACCAAAGACCAGUUAAAGAGUAUUUCCCCAGCUUCUACUGUCUUGGUUCUAAUUUUCCACAUGUUUUGGGGCUCAACAAGUAGAAUCUGCACUCAUGAUUUGUUUGAUAUAAUUUGGUUUCUGCUUAAAUUUUGGUUUUAGGAACUGGUCAUGCACUGAUUAAUUCCCGGCACAAAUAAGCACUUUUGAGUUCCAUACCUUGGUUCAUUGAAAGGAGAUUGUUCAAUGGACGGAUCCUAACUUGGGGGUACAGAGACUUUUAACAUACCUCAGUCUUCAAUUGUUUUGCAGCUUCCUUGUUAUAUUAGUUUCUCUGGUUUUGCACAUGGACAUGGACAUUGCUUUAAUUACCCUACUGCCAUAAUAGUUCGCACAUGGACAUGGUUUUUCAACAUGAUGACAAUUAAGAUCUUCCUUGUUCUAUUAAUUUUAAAAUUGAGAGUUAUAGGGAAUUUUUCAAUUUUUUUUAACACAACAAAUUCACAUUGGCACAGCUAGAAAAUUUCCAGUAAUCAACUGUAAGUGACUGGCUUCUAGCAUCCUUACAAUAGGUAUUAAAAAAAAAGCCAUAUUUUUUAGCCAUUUAAUGUGCUAGUAACCUCCAAAGGGUCACCAGCAUGUAACUUUAGAAAAAUUUUGUAUCCUCCCUUGUUAUUUGCGUUGGGGAACAAAUGACAAGUCUAUGUAACAUUGGUAUAAAAUGUAUUUUAAUAAAAAGGUUCAAUUAAAUGUGCAAUUAGGUUGAAAAGAACCAUAAGCUGAGUUAGAAAGGUAAAUUUCUUAUGUACAAGGGGCUGAAAUUAUAUUUAAAAAAGUAGAAAAUCGUCAAGAGAUCAAAUUACUUGCUGAAAAAGAUAAUAAAGUCAAAAUACAUAAUUUUCGUUGUCAAACCCUACAUUCCUAAUCCCUCGUUCAGGUGGCUGCCAAACAGAGCACCUCUUCAGCUCUUCUUCUCUUAUUAACUAAAACAAAGCCACUCUUCCUCUUCCUCUUAGAUUAGAUGCCAUCGUUACAAAAUCUCCUCCUCUGCCAUUGAAAGAGAAUCAACAGCCGGUACUUAUUAAGCGAAAAGACAGCAGGUAUGGUGAGUGUUUUUCUUUUCAAAUGUCUAGCAGCCUUCUUCUUCUUUCUUUCUCAUCCGUAGAGCCACCCUGCUGAUAGUUCUAAUCUUGUAAUUCAUUUUUCAGCCUUGGUUUGAAUUUUUAGGCGUUUGGUUGUUCUUUUUUUACUUUAAAAUUGCUUGUAAUUUUCUAUUAAAUUGCUUUUUUUUUUGGGUUUUGGAGUGGCUGUAAUUGGACAUAUUUCAUAGUGAACUUUGGCAUUUUUAAGGUUUGAACGAUCAGGUCGUAAAGAUAGUGAUGAAGUUGAUGAUAAUUGUAUACUGGUACUUUGUGUUGAUAAUGAAGAAAGUUGGAUGUUAGGAUUCUUGGCCUUAUACCCGAGUUGGAAAUUCGAUGAUGAAGAUUUUUAAGCCUUGUUCCAAGUUUAAAAACAUUGUUUACAACUACUGUCUAUCGGAAUUUAGUAAUUUGUUUUCUAGGAAGAAAUGAUGGUGGAGGAGAAACGAGAAGUAGAAGAAGAGGAGGUAAAGGUGGUGGAGGAGGAGGAGGAGGAGGAAAGAAUUCAGAGCUUCAAAGAAUUGGGAGUGUGCUCAGAGCUGGUGGAGGCGUGCGACAAUUUGGGAUGGAAAGCACCCACAAGGAUUCAGAUGGAGGCCAUUCCCCACGCCAUUCAAGGGAGCGACAUCAUUGGACUUGCCCAAACUGGUUCGGGUAAAACCGCUGCCUUUGCUCUGCCAAUUCUCCAAGCUCUUCUUCAAGCUCCCCAACCUUUCUUUGCCUGUGUCCUUUCUCCCACACGGUUUCUAUUUCUUCCCUUUUCCUUUAUCUUAUUUAUCUAUUCACUUAUGUAAUUCUUCUGCACGGUACGAUUUUUUUCUAAAAUUUAUAUUGUUUUUGCUUACAGAGAGCUGGCUAUUCAAAUUUCUGAACAGUUUGAAGCUUUGGGAUCAGGGAUUGGAGUCAAGUGUGCUGUGGUCUGCCUUCUUUUUCUCUUUUCCAUUUUUUUCCCUUUGGGAAACUUUAACCUUAUAGAUCAAUUUCUUCAAACCAAAAUAGAAAUGUUAAUGCUUAUGAUUCCCCCCUGCCUUUUAUUUUUUUAAAAUUAUUUUGUACACUUCAAAAUUUUGUUUCUGUAACUGAAGAGAUUACUGUUGCUUAUGUAGUAGAUUAACUUGUGGUGUACAAUUAUUUUCCAGCUUGUUGGAGGAGUUGCCCAAACUGACCAGAGCAUUGCCCUUGCUAAGCGCCCCCAUAUUGUUGUCAGUUUCAUUCUUCCUCCUUUUUUUCCCUCCUUUUUCAGCUUUUCUAUUUUCUUCUUCAUUUUAGGAGUUUCUCUUUACUGCUUCAUUUCCAAAGCCACAUCCAUUUUCUUUGCUGCUUAUACUUAUCUUUUCCAUCUUUCCUCAAUUUUAGGUGGCAACCCCUGGUCGCCUCAUUGAUCAUCUUUCGAAUACUAAAGGUUUUACGCUGCGUAUGUUGAAGUACUUGGUAAGUUUCCUUCAUAUGUGGAAAACAUUUGGAGUUGUGUUUUGAUAAUUUUUUUCUCUAUGUUAGGUAUAUGCUUGUAAAACCCCUGCGUGCAUGCCUUAGGACUUGAAAAAAGUUUGUUGUUAUUUUGGACUGAUGGGUCAUUUGCUUCCAAGAUAGCUGUGUAUACAAGUUUGCAUACUUUGAACAUGUGUGACUCUCUCUCUUUCUCCUGAUUUGAUCCCAAUUUCUGCCAAAAAUGCAAAAGAUCAGGCUCUGUAUGAUGUGAAAUACUUGUUGCUCUGGAUAUGAUGGUUCCUCAUCUUUCUUAAAAGGACAUUAAUCCUGUGUUUUAAUGGCAGGUAUUGGAUGAAGCAGACAGGUUGCUGAAUGAGGAUUUUGAGAAAUCACUAGAUGAGAUAUUGAAUGUUAUUCCUCGUGAAAGGAAGACAUAUUUGUUUUCUGCUACCAUGACAAAGAAGGUAUAUGGUCAAUUAAUUAUUUUGUUUUGCUUGUGCAGAACUAUAUUAGCUGAUCUUUUCUGUGUCGUGUAGCUGUGAGCUGAGCUCAAUAUUAAGAGAAAUCACUGGCAAACAAGUGCAAGUGUUAUGUUGUUCUGUAAAAAGUACCAUGGUACUGAAAAAACUGUGAUUCUUGUUUUACAGGUCAAGAAGCUCCAGAGGGCAUGUCUGAGGAAUCCUGUGAAGGUAGUAUGGUUGUUACCCCACUAUUCUGGAUGUUCUUUGGGAGUGGAUGAUCUGACUUUGUUUGCAUUUUCUUUCAGAUAGAAGCUGCAUCUAAGUAUUCCACAGUGGAUACGCUUAAGCAACAGUAUCGCUUUGUUCCUGCAAAGUAUAAGGUAUGCCUUUUCUGCAGUGUCACAUUUCUGUUAGUUGAUUGAGCAUAUGCUUGUGUGCUUGCAUUGUUUCUGCAUGCCAUAAUAUGUGUUUCCACUCUGUUACUGAAAUUCUUUUGGGCAAAUAUGCUAAAUCACUCAUUGUUCUUUUCUUUCUUUCUUCUGAAAUCAAAUUACUUGCCGUGCAGGAAUGCUAUCUUGUUUAUAUUCUAACUGAGAUGUCUGGAAGCACAUCGAUGGUGUUUACACGUACAUGUGAUGCAACUGGUCUUUUGGCUUUGAUGCUGAGGAACCUGGGCUUAAGGGCCAUCCCUAUUAGUGGCCAUAUGACCCAGGUAUGGCCACUAAGUGUGUUGAGAAUUUGUCAUAGUGAAGUUCGUUUUCAACUGCAUAUGUUUCUGGUUAAUCGUUUAUUGCUUCUCUAUUUAGCGUGCUCUCAGGUUUUGAUUUCUCUGGACAGGCAAAAAGACUCGGAGCCUUGAACAAGUUUAAGGGUGGAGAAUGUAAUAUCCUCAUUUGUACUGAUGUUGCUAGUAGAGGGCUAGAUAUUCCAUCUGUUGAUAUGGUUAUUAAUUAUGAUAUCCCCACAAACUCAAAGGUCAGUUUCUUUCCUUGUUUUUCAAGUUGGCAUUCUAAAUUCAUGUUUCCCAUACUCUAAAAUUUUUUAAGUUCUUGAUAACUGCUUCAGUCAAGAUUUAACUUUGACUACCUCUGUUUUGUCUGCCGUUGCAGCAUUGUUGUCUCUUCUCAAGGAAUUAUCUUUGCCCUUUCUCUAUCUUGUGCUGUUCUGGAUGCUGACUGCUUGCCACGUGCCUUUGCUUCUAAAUUGCAUUUUAUGUUUCAGUAUCAUGUUAAGUUAUGGAAGAAAUGUUCUGUGCUCUUUUCCCUCUUAUUUACUAUUAUUUUGACUAGGCCUUUACACCUUAUUGGGCUUUGCCUUCCUAUCAUCUUUGACGGUGCUGUUUUUUCCUGUUCUAAUGGCAUUUGUCGUAAUUCAUGGACGACUAAGUUGUGCUUUGUCAAAAAUGGGCAGCUUGACCUAAGGGCAUGGGGAAGUUAGGAGAGGGUGUCAGGAUGUGGGUUUGUGUCUGAUUCCUUGCGGUUACUGGAUUGUGUUUUGUUGUAUCUAUGAAACAGACAUCUUUGUGAUUUAUUAUCUGUAAAAAGUUUUGCUUACUUAUAUAAUGUGCUAUACCUUAUUGAAUGAAUGCUCUCCAGGACUAUAUACAUCGGGUUGGAAGAACUGCUCGUGCAGGACGAUCAGGUGUUGCCAUUUCAUUAGUCAAUCAGUAUGAGUUGGAGUGGUAUAUACAAAUAGAGAAGCUCAUUGGUAUGAACACAUCCUGUACUCUAUGAGCGUUUUGUAGAUGUGAUGUAAUCUUUGUUCUUCGGAUUUACAUUUUUAUGUCUCAGGGAAGAAGUUACCCGAAUUCCCAGCUCAAGAAGAAGAAGUCUUGCUUCUGUUGGAGCGGGUCACGGAGGCUAAAAGAAUCUCUCAAAUGGUACAAAGUUGUAUUUUUGGUUUUAAACAUCUUUGCAAUAACUGAUUUGGGUUGCCUUGCACCUAGCUGCUACUCUCUCUCCCUCUUCCUUCCUCUCCCUCUCCAUCAUGAUGGCAUUUGCUUCGGUCCUUGGCGCCCCCUUCCUCCCUCUCACAAAUUAGCAUUCUGCCCUUAGAAACGUGCACUAGUUGACUAUUUCUAUGAUUUAUCUUUGACAGAAACUCAAAGAAACUGGUGGGAAGAAGAAACGAAGGGGAGGAGAUGACGUCGACGAAGAUGUUGAUAGAUAUUUAGGUUUGAAGAAUGGGAAAGCAAAAAAGUUUAAAAAUCGAUGAUGAUAGAAUGAAUGCAGCAGUAGCUUACAGGGUUUUCAGAUAUUAGCAAUCGGAAAUAUGAAAAGCUUAGGAAGAGAUCAUGAAGGGGGACGAUUUGAAAAUGUAAAAUCAUUUAAGAAGCCUGAGUAAAGAUCCCUACCAAUUUUGUUCCAUUUUAAUCCUAGAUGGGGUACGAUAGAAUUUUAUUUCUUUUUGCUUUUUAAAUAUAAUUGUAUUGUUGCCUAAAGGUUUCUAUAUUAUUGUUUAGAAACUGAUUAUGAAGUGAAAAAUUGUGCAUUUAUGGGCUAUACUGGGCAAAAAAUGUCUGCUGUAGUUUGGUAUGAUCACUUAACAUCACCAACCUUGGCUUGAUGCUUGUGUUGAAGUAAUCGCUGUGUGUGAUAGGAUGGUACCCAAGGCGGAGCGACGCUCGACCCCUUCCAAAAUGGAUACAAGUUGAAACUGGUUAAAGAUGUAUGCUGCAUCUGACGGAUCAUUUAUUUUCCAUAUUAAGAUGCUAAUGUUGCCGUUUUGCUAUUACGAAUCAGAUGAGACUAAAAUAUCAUGUUUAUGAAUGAGAAAUAGCAAUACAAUGACGUUAUUAAUCAGAUGAGUCUAAAAUAUCUUGUUUAUGAAUGAAAAAUAGUAAUAUAAUAAGAAAUGGUAUACAGAGUGGCACAGGAAAUGAAACAAAAGAUUCGUUGAGUUAAGCUCUAUCUUCUUAUCAGUCAUUUUAUUACUGAUCCUAUUCAUUGAAUGAAGUGCUCUCAAGAGGAGUGAAAAAUCAUAGCUCCUAGGCAUGAGGGAGUGCUCAAAAUUGUGAAGAGCUUUCAGGUCUCACUCCGUGGAAGAGAUCAAAGAGUACUUGGAAACUCUGAACUUGGAGAAAUAUAUGAAUAUAUGUAUCAAAUGUGGUAAGAAAAUCACUGUAAAUCUGUAAGACCAUUACUUUGUGCAUUUGCUGAUGUUACUAUUAAUUGAUCAAUCGUCAAGCUUAAGCUCCUGGAAUCAUUAUCAUGGAGAUUGAUUGUCUAUUAUUGAUUCAUUUUACAUUUUGCUUUCUUUAAGAGAUGUAAGAACCUGAUAUUUGACUAAUUGGCAAAACUCUGAAUCGAACUUUCUGCAGUUCUGCUCAACCUAGGACAACAAACUUGUGAAGCAGUAUCACUUAGAAAGAUGCUGAAGGCCUCUUGAUUGGUUCUCUUUCUUCCUAGUCAGAGGGAGGUUUCACAAAUGAAAAAGGAUGUUACUACUAUGAUAAAAAUUAAAUAAAUCCUAAAUUAAGACAAAUUGACUUUGCUUGCACAUUGCCAACAAGAUCCCUGCAUGUUUUUCAAGUGAAGAUAAGGCACAUGAAGCCAUGAAAACCAAUUUGAAUCUGCACUAAAUCGAAUAACCCUGCCUUGUUUAGGCAUUUGAAACAAAUUUCCCUACACUGAUGAAAGUAAAUCCUUAAAAAUCAAAUCAUCUGCUGGAGAAAGUAGUUCACAAAUGGGGGUUAGUGGUGGAUUAAUUCCACAUUUUCGUCUAAUGCAGAUCAGCAACAGAAGACCAUAUACGUUCCAAGUCCCUUGUAAAAUCUUUUUCUCUACCUAAAACUACACUGCCGUGGUUGGCAUUGGCAAUCUUGUCAAUCUCUGCUUCUUGAACUUGCUUUUGAAUGUUGAUGCUGCAUUCAAUUGGGACUACUUGAUCUCGAGUGCCUUGGAUAACAUUGAUUUUCACUUUGGCCAUUCUCAAAGUCUCCAAGUACUUAUCAGCUAAUUUAGCCCCUCCACAUAUGACAUUAUGCAUUGUGUGCCAAGCAGAAUGAUGAGUAUGCCGAGUCAAGUCUAUAAACGUAAAAUGUAGAUUCCUGAAGCAGAAAGAGGUACAAUUCAGUUCUACUUCGAAAAUUUUCAAGGAUUGUUGAAAUGCAUCCACACAAAAAAAAUAAAUAAAUAAAAUAAAAUCAAGAUUGAUGCUUAUUGUAUAAUUUACCUUCUCCUGGUGAUGAAUUUCAAGAGUGAUUCCCACAUUUUAUGAUUUCGGCAAAUAAUGAAGCACACACAUCUGCCUAAGUGUUCAUACCAAGACAUAAAUGAUGAACCAAAUAAAAGAGGUGGCCACAGUCUUUUCGCUGCAAGUCUUUCAAGUGCUACCAUACUAGCAUCCUCUCUCAAAGAAGAGAAGUAAGGCUGAAAUAGCAUGAGAUCACAUUGUCAUAUAGACACAACAGAAAUGAAAAACAAGAAGGAAAAAUAACAGAAUUGUAUCGUAAAUGGAUUCUGGGACAAAAUUCGAUCAUCCCAUGAUGCUUCUCACUUUAUAGCUUCAAACAGCAUUUUACUGUUUAACAUAUCGUGCACUCACCGGUGCUAUGAGGGUUAUUGAUUUCACAGAUUUAGAAUGUUUUGCAGCUAAUGCCAAAGCAAUGAUACACCCCAUGGAGUGUGCAACUAGAUGAAAUGAAUUCAGCUGAUAUGGACCGAUCACUGAGUACUCAAUCAUUUCUAGGUGAUCCUUGAGGGUGUAUAAACAGUCCCUUGGUUUUGGACUUCUCCCAAAUCCCAAUAGAUCUACAGAAAACAAUCUGCAAUUUUGCUUUGCAGAUUCAGAUAAAUUAGGAAAUACAGUUUCUGUCCAGAAUGAGGAGGAUGAGAGAAAACCAUGCAAAAAUAUCACAUUUUCGGCUUCCCUUUCUUUGCUGUCCACCCAGCUAGCUGCCAAACACACAAUGUCUGUCAUUACCAAGUCUUACACAAAAAAGUCAGUUGAGCUUUUGGAAUGCUGAUGCAACAUGUUUUUAGUGAUGCAGCAAAUCUUGUACCGAAAAUAUUCAAAUGCAAGUUCCUUAUCUAACAUGUGAAAAUUCUUCUUUAAUGGUUUGCUCCCAAAAAGCAUAGCUUUUGAUUCUUCCAGGCAAGGUAGUGAGAGAAUAAUGCUAGUGGAAAUAAGAAAUACAGAUAGAAGAAACAUUUAUGUCGAUUUAUCAUAGACAUCUACAUGGAUUAUGUCUAUUUUGCCAACCGAUAUGAAUGUUUCUUCGAGUAUUAUUAAUUGAAAUGGCCAGAACAACCAUCAAAUUUGGACUUUUGAUUAAAAAAUGUGACUGGAAAGUUUUCAAAACAGAAAAAUUAAUCAUCAAUUUUGAAUUUUACUGCUUUAAGCAUUUGAGAUAAUGUCUUUUCUGCUUAGGCCUCAGUCCAAUAAUUUCAGUAGCUUCUUUGAGUGCCCUUGUUAUUGUCAGAGUUUUCUUAGAAAAUACCCUAAUACAAUGCCAAUUUAAUGAUUGAACAUCUUUAAAUUGUUUAUAUCAUCCACAAGUUAUGCUGCUGAAAUUGUUGUUUGGUAAAGUAUAAAGAAAGCAGCUUUGUCUGUGCAGGCAUACACUGUUGAAAUCAUCUUUAGGGGCCCAAUCUACGUAAUAGAAUUGCUUGAAAUACAAAGAACAGGGUAAGCAGGGAAACUAGUUGCUGCAAUACUUCGAGAGAUUGACUUGUCAAUAAGGUUCAAGAAACUGAAUUAUCAGUAGUGUUACUAGAUGUUGAGGCACACCUAACAAAGCCAAAAAAUUCCACUAGUUAUAAUGGUCCAAAAAGGCAAGAACAAUCCUUGCUAAAUCCCAAUUCUUCUGUUGGAUAUACUCUUCCUAAAAGUAUUAUGCCACUUCUAAUUUAAUCCAGCAAGGGCUCCUUAUCUAGCUGACAAAAUACAAAGGGCAGGUUAACCAGGGGAGCUAGUUGCUGCAUUACCUUCAGAGAUGGAGUAGUCGCUAAGGUUCCAGAAACUGGAGAAUCAUUGGAACUGGAUACUCAGCCACACCUAACAAAGGCAGAAAUAUCCACUCAUCAUAAUGGUCCCAAAACUAUCCUAAAAUUGUUCUGUUGGACAUACUCUUUCUAAAAGUGUUAUGGGCAUUUUUAUCUUAUCCGGCUGCAGCUCCUUAUCUAGCCACAAAACACAAAGGACAAGAAAAGAUUCCACAUUACAUUAGCUCACAGCCUCACACUAUUCCAAGAGUCUGCCUGCAGUUUGUCAUUUUAUAAGCUAUUAGCAUCAUUUACUGCAUUUUGUAAAGCCAAUUGAACUCUAAAGAGAAAGAAGUUUUUGAAUGAAACUGUUUGGUUGAGUUCAAGAUUAUUAUAUUCUAGAAGAAAAAAAUUUAUAAUAUUGGCAAAUUUAAUCUCUACGUACAUUAAUGUGAUUACAUAUUAAUCUCUCUUGCUGCAAAUUUUACAUGCAAAACUGUGACAGCUGAUCCAUAAAAUUCCAUCCAAAAGGGCUACAGGGACCAAAUAUCUACCAUCCUCAGGACUGAAAUGACACAAAAUUAGCAAUCUCAUUUACCACUUCUAGUUCUAAAGCAGAAAAACUAGAACGAGACGAGGGAGUUCACAUUCGAUACUAAAACUCCAAAAAUGAAAUGGAUUGCAAAUGCAAAUUCAGCAAAAUCCCAUGGUUUACAAUUUUGCAUUAGAAAUUGGAUAACUUUUCUUUACACUCUCGAUAUAUAAUUUCCUUUACUUCAACAAAUUUAUAUUAUACCACAUAAUAUGAAUUCAAAUUUGAAAUUUAAAUUAUGCACAUGUGACAUAUAUCUGUAGUUACUAGUGUAAAAAAAUCACUAUACUGGUAAUGCACAAAAAGUUAAUCCUUAGAAAUUAAUGUGAAAUUUUUGUAGUAUAAAGGUCAAACAUUCGCGACUAGAAUUAGAACUAUUUAAAACAUGAGGGACUAAAUCUAUAAUAUCACAAAUGCAACACAUACAGUUUUACCUCUUUCUGUCUGUGGUUCUUGGACCACAACGUGAAGCUUUGGAUCAUCAGCAUUUUUCAUCCACUCAACACAAGAAUCACACCCACAAUCAGACCACCUGGUGCCAUUCCUCAUCUGCAAGAAUGAUUCACCAUUUCUCCAUCCUUUUGGAACCAAAGAAAUCCCAAGUGACCCCAAUAAGCCCCUAAAGAAAUUUCUCCUUCGAUGAAGCGUUUCAGACAGCUCACUCUCUCCAUCAACUUCUACUUGCGCAACAUGAUGACAAUCACCUGUCUUCUCCUUUUCCUCCAUUAAUUCCAUGCAGUAACAUGAAGAAUAGGCUUUUCCUUCCAGGAAUUCAUCCAACAAUCUAUAGAAAAUGCACAUGAAAACUUCAAGAAAAUCCAGGAACAAAAAUACCAUCCAACUUAUUGCUGCUAUAAUGAUUUCUAGACCCUUUUGAAUCCAUUUUCCAGAUUGAACUAGGGUGGCCAUUCUCCUCCUCUCACUGCGUGUGAGUGCGUGUGAUAAAAGGGAGGGAAGGGGUUGAGGUUUUUGGCUUUUUGGGAGAAGGAGGGAGAGUUGGCGUACGGUCAGAGGAAAAGUAGGCGUUGAACUCCUGGAAUCAGGAAAGCAGAUUCAUGUUAGACCACGUUGCAAUGCUUAAUACUGUGAAUUUUUGGUUGGUGUCAAAAUUUACAACAUAAAUUAGAAAAAAAGAUAAAAGAGCCGUUAUGUUUGUCCUUUUUCCUUUUUCUUUUCCUUUGUGUAUCUGUUUAAAUGUUAUACAGGUGAGAUUAAAUGUUUUUGCCAACACAAGGAAAGAGUGUUCCAAAUGUCCUUUUCUAAUCUUGACAAUCAAGAAAUCAUCUUUGAAGGGAAAAAAUAAGCAUAAAUUUGUGCUGCCUUUUGAAGUAAAGGUUUACUACUGAAAUUUCAAGAAAAUACUGCAUCGUACUGGUCAUUGUAUAACUGUUUCUCUCAUCCAACUUUAUGUGGUAUAGUCUUAUACUCCAUAAACACACUAUCAUGCAUGACAAAGUAGAUAGUUGUCUUUUCCUACCAUAAUAAUUAGUUGAAUUAGAUGCUAAAGUUUAGGAAAUAGCGACAAAUAUCGAUGCAACGGUUCUCAGCACUGGAACAUACGAGUGAAUUUAGAAUAUGGAUCCCAUCUUGUUUAGCUAUAUUCAUUAAUGAAGAGAUAAAUGAAUUUCCUCUCAACCGGGUCUUUAUCAGGUGUAUGUAGUUGGAGUAGAAUAACUGGAUUGGGCAAUGUUAUUUAUAUUUGAAUUUUCAUGCAUUUCAGGUUUUAAAAUUUCUCAAUAAUGGAAUAUCCUUAAAACCAGAUUUUAGUUGGAAACAGACAUCUCAAAAAAUACCCAUAUUCGAUAACAUAAAUAAUGAAUUUCUGCUCGUCUCUUAAUUUAAGUCUGUAGAAUUCAAGCAACAUAAAGUCUUUGAAAAACAUCACUUAAAGUCCAAGAUUAAAGUCCGCACCCUCUAUAACCAGGCAGACAUCUUAUGAAAAAGGUCAUUGGACCAGCGAAGAGCCAAUUCUCUGGAAAUGUAUCUCUCAUGUAUAGUUAAAAAGAGAGAAAAUAGUGUAUCCUAUCUUAUCUUGUAUUAAUUUCCUCUUUAAUAAAAGAAAAAUGUUCGUCAUAACUUUCACAUAUAUUCUAAGUCUUAGAUCAACGUUACAACUGGAAGUACAUGCCAAUUCAAGAUUUCUAAUUUCUAAAUUCCACAUAUAUUUUGGUGUUUCCUGAGAGCAGCAACAAGCACAUAUGGGCAGAAAGGAAAACUAGCCAAUCCCAAAAGGCAAAAUUGGGUAACUAUCGGUAGAACUUGCAAUUUCCUCUUUUUGCAAGGAUCAAGCAAGCAAGCAUGCCAUAAUGAACAGGGUAAAUGCUUCAACUAAGGACGAACAGUGUGCUUAAUUUCGUUCAUUUAGUGUCAUUAUCCUUUUUUACAGGGUCCGAGCUCACAGUUGGAAGGUUUCUUCUAUAUUGAGGAGAUGUCAACCUCCUCUCUAAUGGUGUCUUCCUCUUGCUCACUACAAACCUGUUUACCCCUUUCCUCAUGGGCAUUAUUGAUGGAAAGUCUUCAUCAGGUAUCUGGCUCAGCUCAGAAAUGUCCUUUAUCUGAGCGACACGCCGAAACCAUCUUUCUGUUUUGGCCUCUUCUGACAUGUCUAAAGGAUCUGGUUCCUUCACAGCUGAUCCCUCCAAGCUUUUCCCAGUCCAGCCAGCUCUAGCAUUCUGAUUAGACAACUGUGAUGAACCUCCAGCCAAAUUCGUUGUGUGCAAUGUAUUUUCUCCUCUAGAAUAUCCGCUGCCCAGAUUUUUAUUUGUUGUUAUCUCAGAACUGCUAGAAUAUCCGCUGCCCAGAUUUUUAUUUGUUGUUAUCUCAGAACUGCGGGUAUUGGGGUUUUGACUCGAGUUCCCAACCAGAACAGCGCCCUGGUCCCCUGAGACUUUUGGACUCCAGCCUCCAGAAGUUCUUACUUGACUCCCUGUUUCUUGUACAGCAUUCUCCUCAGAAAACUUAGGUCCUACUUCUUCCAAUUUCUGAGGAGAAUUCUUCGCUAUUGUGGAACUUGAUGAAGUUUCAGUCAACGGUUUUGUCGAUGAGUUUAUCUCAUCUGAUGUUGGCGUAUCAUUUCUUGCAAAGUAUCCAGGAGGAAAUGGAACAAAGGGUACAAACUGUGGAUUGCCUGCCUGCUCUGCAGCCACCUGUCUCUUGUAUGCUGGAGAAGUUAAAGAACGAUCUUUCUUCUUGCUAACCACAAAACGAUUUUCUCCUUUACGCAUUGGCAUAAGCUCUGGGAAGUCUUCAUCUGAAAUUGCACUUGGCAAGUCUUUAACGUUGUGCAGCUCCGCCACUCUCUGAAACCAUUUUUCUGACUUUUCAGCUUGCUCUUUGUUUUGGCUAUCAUUUUGAUUUUCCGGUUUGCUAAAGAUUUUAUCGUCACCCGACUUCCUAGCAACUGCAUCACUUUGAGGACUAUCCCCUGAUGAGACAAUAUCAGAAAUGUCUACAUGUUUGCCAACUUGUGACUUCAACUUCUGAUCUUGUUCAGAAAACACGUCUCGUGAUAACGACGUAGAAGGAACAUAACUGGAAUUGCUCUGCUGACAUUGUUGGUAUUCCAUAGGAGUAGACAAAGGAAGCGAGGCAGAAGAAUUAGUUUCAAGAUUCUCUUCAGUCGCAAUACUCUGGUCAGCCAUUCUAGAAACAGGGGAUGAGUGACCAAGAAUCUGGUCCAAACUCUUCCUGAUUGAUGAGUCCAGGGCCAUGUUACCGCCAGGAGAUUGAGAAGCAUUACCUUCUGCAAUCCCAUGAUUACCCAAAAGGUUUUGACGUUGAGAGUUGGCCUGUCUUCUCUCUAAAGGAGUCUUCCUUGUGCUUACAACAAAUCUAUUUUCUCCUUUUCUAGGGGGCAUGAUUUCUGGAAAAUCUUCAUCAACAGCCACAUUGCUCAAAUCAGAGGCAUUUUCCAGCUCAGAAACCUUAUUAAACCAGCGUUUUGCCUUCUCUUCACUCUCCUCUAAUCUGAUGUCCAUGUGUCCCAACUCCGACAUGGAGUGUACGUUAUUAGCUGCAGCUAUCCUAGGUCUUUUGCAGUCGCAUCGCAAGCAUACCAAAUUCCUUCCGUAAUUAAAGAAAUUGCACCUGAAAUAGAAAAAUACAUAUUGAUGUUCUCAACGUGCACAGUGCAAUAACAUCCAUACAUUCCAGUUAUAGGAAUGAAUGCUCACUGAGGACAUUGCCAUUCCUUGCCAGUCAAUUGCUUCUUUGGCCUAGGUUCCUCGCAUUCAAGACAUUCAAAGUUUCUUGCAAAGUUCAUGAAACUGCACCUGCAAAGCAUACAGUACCAGGAUAAUAUUACCUCAUGAAGGAAUCUUAUGAUGAAUACUAGGUAAAUACGAUUAGUUUAGACAUGCAUUCAAAAUUUCAUAGAGAAAGGGUCUUGAAAAGACAAAAUACCCAUACACACAUCGAUCAGGAAACUAGCUGGAGGAAAAAAAAAAGAACUACUGAAGAAAGAAACGAAAACGUAGAGUGAAGAGAAAAUCUAGAAGUUACGGAAUAUUUUCUCCUAACAUUUACUCAGUUACACAAAAAUGAGAUAUAUCAAGGCAGUGUUCUGUCUUUGUUAGAAAGAAAAUACAAGGAAACUCAUUUCACUUCCAUUACUUUUAACAACGCUAGAUCCACAAACUAGUCAACAAAAACUAGGGUUAAAGCAGAAUAUCCAAUCACAUUAUUUAGUUCUCCACAUAGAUAAAUCACAAUUAAUGGGUCAAAGGAACAGAGUAAUCGACUAUGCAGAUAGAAGUAAAGAAAUAAGAGCAAAAUUAACUUAUUUUUACUUUGGGCAUAUCCAGUCACCCCUCUUCAUUUCAACAUUUUGUCUCAGAGGCCUUGCAGUUUGUUCAUUUCCACCAUGCAAUUGGUAUUGUUCUGAAGCAGGAACUUCAAUUGCAGGGUCUGCAAAACUCAAUUCAGUCAUCUGGGAAAGCAGAUUCCUAACAGAUGAUUCAAUUAGUUCUCUGCUGUAGAGAUUGUUCUCUUCUGAUGAAACAGAGGGAUUGCUUGCAUAACUCAAUAUAUAUUUCAUAAUGUCAACCAUGUUUGGCUUAUCAGACUCCAACACCUGAAAAGUCAUAUGCACUGAGGAUUCAACAAAUAACUCUAACAGGGGGAAAAGAGCAACAGAAUAAGGAGCAAUAUUAAUCUAACCACCAAAUGCCAAAUGAUAGCUACACUAACCAUUUAUUCCUGCAAGUAAGAAUAACUAUUCAUUGUACAGUAUACUAUUUAACUCCCGAAAACCAAAUACUCAGUUGCCUGGAAGUUUAUUCUCAGAUUGGAUUGAGUUUUUGGAAACAAAUUUUCAAGAGAUUCUUUUAACACGUUCUCGAAUCCCCUUAUAGUAAAAUUUAUCCAAAAACUCUCCCAAAAAAUACAAUCCAGCAGAGCCCUAUUGUUCAAAAAAACCAACAGAGAUUAAUCCCUACGACUUCUAUAUUAAUCCCUACCACACCGUAAGAGGAAGUUCCAAAACUCGAAAGUCCCCAUAAGGGGCAAUUCCAGUUCAAAUGCAGUUCCAUAACCGGGGCAAUGCAUGUUCAUGGUGGUGUAUAUACUUGGACCACUUACGAGAACAUUUAACCGGCUCAUAUAUUACACAUUUUCACAAGGAACAAGAGGAACUUAAACAUCAACACCAAGUUUAUCAUAUUGCACAAAUUUUAGAAUCAACUCACAUUGCUUCCUUCGAUACCCAAAUACACCCUCAUUUUCCUGGCAGUAUCAAGAGCAGAUUUAAAUAGAAAUGGUGUCCCAUUUGAUACAAUCACUUCAAUAUCCUUCCUGGACAACAACCUGCAAAUCUUGUUCUUAUCACUAAAACUGAUAAUACGAGGAAAACGAACAAUUAAAAUUUACCAAAAAUGGAAAAUGAAAUAAUAACAAACCCUAGAAGAUUGGGGUGUGCCCGGGAGAAAGCUAAGCAAAGAGAAGCACAACGAAUAAAUUCUUCGGAUAAUUCCUUCAGUUCAUAAACCACGAAGGCGUCUUCAGGGUGUACUUUCUGGUCAUCAGCUCCAGGGGAUAGCUUCUCCUGGGAGAAAAAGAGUUUAUUAAUUAAAUUGGACCACUCCGGCCACAGGUGGUUGGAGGCGGCAGAGGCAGCCUUAUAAGGCGAAAUGGAGGGGGCAUUGAGGGGUUGGGCGUGGAGCUGCCGGCUGCAGGAUUUUGUUGUGGGGAGGAGAAGGCGGCGCUGUGUGUGGCUGUAGGGAGAAGAAAGAGUGAGGCGGCGACUGGUGGUGGAGGUGGAGAGGCAGCGGGUGAUGGGACGGAGGAAAAUAAGGGAGGGUUGGUGGAGGAAAGGAGGGAACGGAGUGGUAAGAAGCAUUAUCAACCUCGAAGUGCCGCCCAUCACGGCGGAGGCUGCGGUGGUGGGGGUUUUCUUAGGUGAGUGUGUGAGGUGAGACAGCGGAAAGACUAAAGCUAAAACCCUCUAGAGGGUACUCUUUGGCCAUUAUACAGAGUCUGUACUCUGUUGCCUAGGCUAUACGGAUAUUUUUUUGUUCAGGCCAAUGACAAUGGCCUCCACUAACGUUUGCUGAUAUUGGGAUUACCUCCCAAAUAGUUGGGCAAUGAGCCCGGAUGGGCCAGAUCCUUAGGAAUGGCAAAUGGGGCUGGGUGGGGGUAAGGGAGCCCUGCCCGGCCUGCUUUCUCCGGGGAUAAUAAAAAUUUGUCCUAUAAUUAUAUUGCAACUAAAUUUUAGCCAAGAAUCAAGUAUUUUUAAAUAUCAACACAUCAUCAAAUCAUUAUUCAUUAUAAUUUCAUAAUUGAAAUUCAUAAAAACAAUCAAACAAAGUUAUUUGAAUGCAACCCAACAUGAUGAGACAAAUACAGUUAAAGUAGUCAAGUUUUCACUUUUAAGACAAAUACAAUCACCAAGUCAUUAUUGUUCUUUUUUUUUAAGAAAAACAGUAAUAUUGUGUUAAGUGUAAUUAGAAAUUUAGUAUAAAUGUAUUAAUAAAUUUAACAUAACUAAAUUAAUAAUUUUUAUUAGUAGACAUGUAUAAUUAUUAGUAUAAUUAAUUAUAUUAAUUAUAUUAUAUGUACUAUUAUACAUUAUAUAAUACUUAUAAUAUCAUUAUUAUAAGUUUGUAACUAAUUAUAUUAUUAUAUAAGUUUGUAACGAAUUAAAUUAAAUAUUAUACAUAUAAUUUUUUUUAACGAGUGCCAGGGUGAGGAAUGGGCAAAGGUAUACUCCCCCGCUUCCCACCCAACCCCACCCUUAGCUCUAUUAGUCCCUCGCAGGCACCCGUCCCAAUUGCCAUCUCUACGGAUUCCCACAAAGGUGUGUCUUCAUCAUUGCCUGAACUUUCAUUGUCUUGCAUAACGUUACUAGCAAUUUUUUGAUCUACUUAUGUAAGGUUCACCGGCAAUUUUUUGGUUCAUGAAUCAUCUUAUGUGCAUUUAUAUUUUAACUUAAAAAAUUUAGAUCCCAAAAAUUGCCGGUAACGAUUAUGGAAAACAAUAUCGAUUAAGAUAAUAAUUGUAGACAUUAUAGUAGGUUUUGUCCACCAUCAUAUUUUUUAAACUUAUCUAAAUCCUAAUCCACCAUACAAAAAGUCUAAAUGGAUGACCUUUGAAUAUUAUCCUACGAAAGUAUAUUAUACCCCAACCUCACAUCGAAAAGUUAAGAGUUGCAAGAUUAAGAUUUAAAUAAUAAUUUUAACACUCAAGUACAACUUGAAAUAUCUAUUUUACGGAUAUCUAUUAUUGGGUAGGGAGAGCAUAAACUAAAUAAUUGGACUUGGUUGUUGGCUUAGGGGAUCAAAACAUGACAUUAUGUUGGGCCAGUGCCUUGAUUGUGAGGUACCAUAAAUAUAGGCUAGAGUCCUAAUUAUUAUUAAGCUUUUAUGAUGACAAUUUGGGCUAGUGUCUGGAUUAUGAUGCAAUGUAAAUUUGGCCACUGUCCAAAUUAUUAUUAGGCUUUACUAUGAGACAAAAGUUUUAAUGGGGGGUGAAUGUAAUACUCCAAUCCUACAUCGAAUUUAGGACGAUUUGAUAACUUAAUUCAAUAUUUAAAUUUAAGGGCAAAUUCACUAGUGACCCUUAAACUAUUAUGAAAUUCAAAUUUUCAACUGACAAGCUUUAACCCUCCGAUUAGUUAAAAUGUGUAAUUCUAGUCCUUCUAUCAACUUGAGUCAUUAUGUCAACUUGAGCUAUAGGAUUCGUGAUUCCCCAAUGGGCCCCAAACUAUUAUAAAUUCAACUUUUGGCUCUUCAACUAUUAACUGAAGAGUUUUAACCAUCCAAAUAAUUAAAACAUAUAAUUCUAACUUUUUCAUCAAUGUAAGUCAUUAUGUCAAAUAAAAACACCUCCAUGUGCACAAUAGAGGGGCACAAUCGAUGGGCGUUUUCAUCUUCAUAGGACAUGCUCAUUAGAUUCAGGCAUGUCUUGCAUUAUUUUACCUUUUUGCCUUUCCAAGUGAUAGGGCCUAUCUAGAUUAUUGGGAAUUUGGAUUUACCUAUGAUGGUUUGGUCCAUUCAUAAGUCAUAGCACUCAUUUGACUGUGCUGUGAUUAAAUCAAUUUCAUUCUCAAUUAAAGUGUUGGCUUAGAGGUAUAGAUGAUUUGAUGGUUGCUUAUUUUACCUAUAUAUAGUAAAUAUUGACUCCUUUUUUAAAACAUCCACUAAAGGUGUACUAUUUUUUUUAAUCACAGGUUAAAUAUGUGUUUCUAUCUAUUUAAAAAGGAUAUUGACUCCUUUUUUAAGCAUCGAGUAGAUUGGUAUUACUUACUUCUUAUUUAUUUUCUAUAAGAAAGUGUACAAAUAUUAUUUUCAUUUCAAAUAGUAGGGAUAGAACUGUCUAAAUUGUUUUCAAAGAAAAUUUGUAGCCAUUGAACGAAGAAAUUACAAGCUUGGUUUUUUGCUUGUUUUUUCUGCAUUUUUACUUUUGUUCAUGAUGCUGUCUAUUAUUCUAUGAUUCAUUUACAUGCUUUAUGUUUUUGUUCCUUUUCUUUUUAUUAGUAUCAUUUUUGCUCUUUUCAUUCUAAUCUCUCUAUUGUCUGUUACUCUUAUUGCUAGUAAGAAGACAACUUUUCUCUUUUCCCCUCUAUUUUUUAUACUACUGUAUAACUUUAUUUGAACUUAAAGGAUCAAUAUUCUAUAUACUGAUAGUGUAAACAUUUUCACUAUUAAAUGCAUAAUACAUAAUCUGAAUUUGAAUUUGAAAUUCAAAUUUUAUGUAUGUGUCAUGCAUCCAACUGUGAUAGUGUACACACUAUCAAUAUAUAUAAAAUUACCUCUUAUUUAAAUUGUAUGAAGUUUUAACUUGUGGUUUUACCGGCUAAUUUCUCAUAGUAUACCCAAAAAAAAAGUCCGUCAAAUAUAUGUCUACAGACCCAUUGUACAAAUCUAUACCUACCGUGUCCAGUCAGCACGGUAGGGAAUUUUUUUAAUCGCUGCACCCAGAAAAUCGAGCCUGCUACUGUGCACAAUCAGCACGGUAGCAGGCAGCAUUUUAAAAAAAAGGGUGGCCUUUUCUGGGAGCAUAUGCAGGAAGGUAAUGAAAAUCCACAGGAUACUAAUGCAUCUUCCUAUAUGUUCUUUUUCGCUUUUUUUUUUUGAAUAUUAAUUGCGGCUGGUGAAUAAAUAUGUCGGUUCUUAUUUGAUCUUUUAAUAUCAUGCUGAGGAUUUUUUGUGGUUCACUCCAAGUAUGAGACUUUUUGGCCAUUAGAUUGUGCAGGCGCUAGAACAAAAUGACAAAAAUGUGAACAUCUUGGUGCAAUGUGCUCUUUUGUACGACAGCAUUGAGAAGUACAAGUUGGGAGCUGAAGACCUCAGACCUUUUUCAUUUGACCGCCUACUUGCUACCAUGCUGAUUGUGCACAGUAACAGGCUCGAUUUAAAAAAAAAUUUUCAGGCUGCCGUGCACAGUCAGCACGGUAGCCUGCAACCAUUAAAAAAAAAUUUCCUGCUGUGCUGACUGGACACGACAGGUAUAGUUUUGUACAAGAAGUCUGUCAGACAUACAUUUGACGGACCUUAUUUUUUGGGUAUAUUCUGAGAAAUUAACCAAUUUUACCUUUGUCAUUUAGGUUGUUGUUUGUUGUUUUGAUAGUUAUUUGUUGCAGUUGGCUCUCUUUUUCUAGGUUAGUUUCCGUCUAUCUAAUCUAUAACUUUUUACCAUCUACAUGCUUUAUUUACAUUAUAUAUAAUGGAGAAUCUAUGGUUUCAAUUUGGAGAAUUUUUAGUUGUACGUGAUGUUCUCUAUGUGUUUGAUCAUUGGUUUAAUCUUUUCAUAUGUAAUGCAAAUAAUUUUUAAUGUACGCUUGUAACUAUGUAUAGAUGUAGUUUAGAUUAUUUGCGUGCUUUUAAACAUAUACUUUGUCAACUAUUAAAAAGUUGACAUGGAGGAUCCAAUGAGAAUUAGUCAUAUCAAAGAGAUAGGGAGAGAUAUGCAAGCAUGUUUACUGAGAAAAAAAAAACUGAUGUUAGUAAGAAGGACAAAAGCCUAUCAUAAGAAAAAAAAUCAAGGUUGAUCACAACCACCAUUGAUAUUUUUUUUUUUGGAAAGCAAUGUGGUAUUAACAGAGGUAUUCUAAUUUUAUCAAUGAUUUAUCAGCCUAUGCUCAAUGAAGAAAAACUCAAAAAACAAUUUCUAAAUUCUCUAUUUAUGAAAAGGUUUAAGGAUUUGCAAGUUUUCCUUUUCUACUCUUUCUUUGGAUAUGAUUUUUCUAUUUGUCUACUUAUUAGAAUGGUUAUGUUUUUCUGUAGGUUAUUCUUUGAAGACCAACUGUGUUAACCAUUAUAACCAGUAAGAUAAGCCUCUGAAUCCUAGUUUUAGUGAGAUAAAUAUAUUAAGAUGUUUUAGGCUAUACUUAUUUUUCACAGCCAUGUCUUUAUGAUUCACUAAUUACCCUUUUCAUAUAAAUCAACUUCCAAUCUAUGUUUAGUGCUAAAAAUUUCUUAUCAAGAGUUUGGAAGAUGUGGCAGGUUUAAGUUAAAACACAAAUUUUAAUUAAUUUGAUACCAUAUUAUUAUUCAAUUUUUAGAACAAACAAGAUGACCACGUUAUACUUUUUCAACUAGAUUAUUAUUAUGAAUUUUCAAAUAGCCUGAAUCGUGCUCUCUUUCUUAGGCAUCUAAAACAAGAAGAGGGUACACAAAUUUAAUUUACAUGAACCCAUUUUCGUUUUAAAAGAAAUUACAAAAAAGUAGAAUAUGCUCACUAUUAAUUAUCAACCACAUGUGUCAACUAAAAGUUCUUCACACCGAUGGUAUAACAAAAGACCCAAUUGAGAACAUUUAAAGAAACAAGAUGAUCUUUGAAUAUUUUCUUCUAUACAGUUCAAAAUAUAUAGAAUAACAAGUAGGGUAAUUAUCUCUUUCGUUAUGCAACAUUCUUGUUAGGUGCGUGUAUAAAAAAAAUCCCUAAAUUUAUUUUCAUGUAUAAGUGAACAAGAAGAUUGCAGCAUAAGUUUUGUUGUCUGAAACAAAAGACAAAAAACUUGUAUGAAUAUCAAACACAUUAAAUUAGAAAACAAAAGGGCAAUCUGUGAAAAUUUUUGAAUCAAUGAAAUUAAUUGCCUAAUUCUUCUUUUCAAAUGACUUCAAUCGAAGGGUCAAAAAGACUUGUUCUCUGAUCAAAGGGAUGCUUGAUGAUGGUAUUGAAUACUUAAACCUUCAAUCUGUCAACACGAAGGGAAGGAGGAUUUGUUUGACUUGAUUUGGAUUUGAAAAAAAAAAAUAUCUUGAGAGUAUUUGACAGAGUUUCUUCGAAAUUUAGGAAUUUCAAUGUAUCUUUGCUUUGAAGAAAUACCUCUAUUUAUAUCCAAAAUAUGUAUGUUAGAUGUUCAAGAAAAUCCUCCAGAAUCUUCUUGCAUUUGGGUGACUUGUAACUCAAGAAACCCAUUUAAUUUGAAAUUUUAUAGUAGGUCAGUCCAAAUAGUCCAUUGUGAAUUAAUAAAUCAAUUAACCUACUUCAGUUUAAAUGGACAUUAUGAAUUUGAUUUGAUUUAAUAACCCAUAUAAUAUUGACCCAAUUCGCUAGCCUAAAACAUAAUGGACUUCCAUAAUUUAAUUUAAUUUAAUCAAGAUCAAUUCAAUUUAUUUAAUCUUGACUAAAUAAAUUAAAUAAAAUUUCUUUGUUUACAAAGAUGAACUACCAAAAAUACCAAACUAUCAUUUUUGUCAUGCUAAGAAAUUCCAUUGAGUAUCCAACUUUUGCUAUUCUGACGGAGAGGUUUUGCCAAAAGAAAAUUAAUUACUUUAUAUAUUGGUUCAGUUAUAUAUUGGGAAUACUAAGAAAUCUAUCUCUUUUCAAAUGUAUGUGUGGAUAUACAAUAGCUUAUUUGCUUUUACCUCUUUUGAUUUUGCAUAUGAUAAGAAUCUAUGCAAAAGAAACAAAGGAAUAUAUACUUUCGAAGUUCAGGGUUAGACAUAAUCAUUUUAUUAAUGAAUUAAUCUCCUAUAGAAACAAUAGAUUAUAUCUCAGCUAUAUUCCCAAGAUACUGAACAAGAACUAUAAAAUAGAAUGGUUUUUCUCAAACAAAUUGGCUGAAUCGAUUGUUUUGAAGUUGAUAAAAGUGAUGGAAGAUAAUUCAUACAUCAUUUUUUUACAAAAGCUUGAGGAUUUUUUUUUUUUAAUUUUAACUUCUGCUAGAUUGUGUUAAGAACUAAUUGUUCGAGUGAUCAAAGAUUAUUCAUUAAAUCAACUCACAAAUUGUAAUUCUAUGGAUCAAAAGGGAUAAUAUUCAGCAAGGCUACUCAAAGUUUAUCCUAAGCAGGGUCAUAGCAAGCGCUUUUAGUAUUAUUAUAGCUGCUAUAAUUCAUUCUAGUAUCCAUUAUUGUGUGCAUUCAGCAAAAUUGGCUAGCGUAUUGGAACUAGAAGAUCUAAAAAAGGAAAUCCAAAAAGAAAAAAAAAAGAAAUUCAGUAAACAACUGCAUUAGUGUACAUCUCAGAAAACUAAAAUCAUCUCAGCAGAUUAUUGACAAUGUUCAACAAGGUAUUUUUUUGGGCCACCUACUUUGAAGAUGUAUUUAGUUGAUACUCCAUUAUGUAUAAUAGGUUGGUUAUUAUGGCAUUUUAUUUUAUUUAUUAAUCUACUCCCUCCGUCCCACUUUGAUAGUCCUGUAUUCCUUUUUCAUCUGUCCCAAAUUGUAGUCCACUUUCCAAUUGAAGAAUGUAGUUGUAUUUUAAUUUUCCUAAAAUACCCUUAUUCAAUGUAAGUAGUUGUUACUAUAAACCUACCCCAUUUAAUGAGAGUUGAUUCUUUUUUUACCAUCAAUUCAAGUUCCCAUAAAGUUGUACCAUAUUUAAUGUGAGGGUAUUUUAGGAAAAUAGUAAUCUAAAUUUACUUUUCCAACAAAGUUAACUACUUUUUCUUAAACUGUGUGAAAAAAGAAACAGGACUAUCAAAGUGGGACGGAGGAAGUACUAUUUUCCCUUGCAGUUAUACACUAAUCAAAGCAUUCAAAAAAAUUCAUUUUUAUAUGGGAAUACUAAAUGUGCCUUGAUAAUAUGCUACACGUGCUUAAUACGAGUCGAGAAUUUUUAUAAUAUGCGAUUGACAUGUAUGUAAAAAUUGAGAGAUAGAGAUUAUAAUUUUUUGGAAGUAAUUGAAAAAUGAUUGGGACCGAAUAUUUAUGGGAUAUAAUGGACCGUGUUGUUCAAGGUAAAUAUAGAGAUUCAUAGGUUGACCAAAGAGUCGUGCUUCCUAUAAUAUUCAUCGAAGGACCUUGUGACAUGAAAAGAAGAUACAUUGAUGUUAUGGCCUUGGUAUAAAGAUUUGGAAAACCAAAUCAUUCUUUAACAAUGACAUGUAAUAGCUCAUGUAAAGAAAUAAAAGAGAAUUUUUUUCCAAAUGAUUUGAUAGUUAAUAGAUAUGAUUUACAUGCUUGAUUCUUUCAUGCAAAACUCAAUGCUUUGAAAGAUGAAUUGUUAAAAAAAAAAGUUUUUUGGAGAAAUAGCUAUCUACUCAUAUGUCGUUGAUUUCAGAAAUGAAGCCUCCCACACGCAUAUUGUCAGAUCAUAUUAAAGCCAAAUUCAAUAUUGUCCUCUAUAGAUUCAUAUGAUCAGAUUGUAUCUGCUGAGUUACUAGAAAAAGACAAAUACUCUCAUUUGAACACAGUGAUUUGAAUGCACAUGAUGCAUGGCCCUUGUGGUGAUAAGAAGUCUGAUAAUGUAUGCAUGCGAAUGAAAAAUGUAAGAAUAAGUACCCAAAGAAAUUUACGUAAGAAGCAACUCAUAUAAUAAAUGGUUAUCUAAGAUAUACGAGAAGAAAUGAUGGCAAGUAUAUGGUCAUUCGUGGUAGUAAAUUAGAUAACAGAUAGGUUAUUUCAGUGAUGCCUAUUUGUUAGCUAAACUCAAUUGCCAUAUAAAUGUGAAAAUAUGGUCGACCAUAAAGGUUGUCAAAUAUUUGUUUAAGUACAUGUAUGGAGGAUAUUAUAGAAUCAAUUUUAACUGAGUUUAGAUGACACUUCCAUAGGUGUAGACAAAAUAAAAUAGUUUGAGUCAGUGAGAUGGAUAUAACAGUUAAAGUAAUAUGGAGAAUAUACAGAUUCUCACUAUAUAAAAUGAACCUAUCUAUCAUCCAACUACUGCUUCAUCUUAAAAACUUUCAAUUUUUAAUAAGAAUGCUAAUUUGAAAAAUAUUUUUAAAAAUGGGGCUAAAAAGGGCAUGAUGCUUUUAGAAUUCUUUCAAAUGAAUGCCAUUGAUAAUGAAGUUAAGGAUAUAAAUUAUCUUUACAGAGAACUUCUAGAACAUUAUGUUUGGAUUGCAAAACAUCGAAUAUGGAAAAAGAGAAUCCAAAAAGAUGGUAUAGGCAGAAUAGUCUCAACAAAUUUGAGUGAAGGCAAAAAAUACUUUUUGCAAUUAUUACUUCAUAAUGUAAGAGUUCUCAAGUCUUUUGAUAAUCUCAAAACAAUUAAUAUUAUUUAUGCUAGGGCAUUUCGUAAAAUAGUAAUGCUCAGAUGAUUAUUUGAGACUAAUAAUCUACAAGAAAAAUGUCUUGAAUAAGCAUCUAUUUAUGGUAUCUCACAUGGCUUGCUUAAACUAUUUAUUAUACUAUUGGUUUUUUUUUUAAUCAGUCAAUGCAAAAUAAUUAUGGUAAAAAUUUAAAUCUUCUUUGUCUAAAGAUUUUCAAAGAAUUGUGGGAUUAUCAAUGAACAAGUGAGAUGCAAAGUUUUGCGGCAUAUCAAUAAUAUUAUGGAGUCUACAAAAAAAUAUAUAUAUAUCCCUUCGUCCCAAAAAGUUUAUUGCUUUUCGAAAAUGCAACUUUUUAUUGAUAUUUAGGAGAUAUGACCUUUGUUUCCAAAAAUAUCCCUACCUAAUUGGCCCACGUUAAAAGCAUAUUUCUAUUAUGUUGCCAAAAUGAUAUUAACAAAAAUAUUUGGGCUCGCACUAACAAUUUAGGGUUUUAGCUUUGUUAUUGUUGGAUAUGAUACGUGCUGUGUUUCCCAUGCUCCAAUACUUGCAUGUAAUAUGCUUACAAUGAUUAUUCUUGGGUCCAUUUUACAGGAAGAGUAUAAGUUGGAAACAAGUGAAAAAUUACAUUACUAAUUAUGGUAAGUGACAUUCAUUUUGGAAGAAAUCAAAUAGAAAACAAAACAGUUUCAAUGGCACGAAGGGAGUAACAGUUUUGGAGAGAAUAAAAUUCUAGCACUUUGUCUAUUGCAUCUAUAUACUAGAAUGCUAAAAUGCAUAUUGCUACCUUUGUUUAGCAGAACAUAUUCCAUGAAUCAUUUGAGCACUCAAGCUAUGAAGUAUGUUUGCUAUUAAAAAUGCAUGAAAUAUAGUCUUUAAAUUUCUACUAUCCAUUUCAGCAAUAUGCACUAUAAGAUCUAUAUAAGUCUAUUCUAAUUAUCUAUGAUUUAUGGAGUAUUUUUAUUACCUUAUAUUUCUUCUCAUAAUUAUUACAAUCAGUUGUCUAUAUAGCUCUUAUAAGAAUAGUUAAAACUGUAUCUUAUGCUAUUCCUUUUCAUAGCCUGCAACUAAACUAAAAAUAAAGAAAAUAUUACUCCAAUAUCUCAUGUACAUAUCUAUUAUAUCAGUCAAAUAAGAUUUGAACAACUAAAUUUGAGAACAAGUACAUAUAUCUCAUUAUAUCUUUCUCAACAAAAUCAAGAUGAUACAUUUUUGUUGUACACUUUAUCACUGUUUGAUAAAAUUGAAUCCAUCUUUAACCAUUAGAUCUUACCAAAUCUCUGCAGCAAAGACAUAAAUUUUCUACAAAAAAAAAAUCUUUUAUCUAUUUUUUGGACAAGUCAACCAUUAAAGGAACUUCUUAGAAGGAAAAAGUUAAGAACAAUAACACGUAUCUUCUAUUACCUACUAUUUUUUUUCUUCUUUUAUGUCAAUAAAAUGUCGUUCUAUAUUGUCGCGUUAACUUCCCAACUUCAAAUACAUGCCUUUCUUCAAUAAGAAGUUUCACAUGAGCAAACCUAUGCAAAAUAGUCAACAAAAAAAAAAGCAAAUAGCUAAGAACGCUACUAGGUAUUCUAUUAUUCAUACUAGAAAAAAUAAACUUUCAUACCAUAAUUAACAAAAUACACACACACAUACAUACAUACACAUAUAUAUAUAUAUAACAGAAAAUUGUAAGAAAAAUGCAUAAAAAACUAGUAGUUCCAUUAUUUUAGAUAAUAAAUUUUGUUCGCAUCAAAUUAGAUGCAUUUAUUACAUCUAGGCUUGUCAAUGGGUUAGAUCUUACCUAUAUCCAAUUUAGACCAAAUAUAUUUGAGUAGGUUUGGAUUUAAUUUUUCAAACCCUGAUUCUACCUAAAUCCAGACCCUAUAAGAGAGUCAUGGAUUUAGAGGUUAUGAUUUAUAUACAAAUUUAGAUCCAUACUAACCCUAUCUAGGCCCAUGUAUAUAUAAUAAUAUAUAUGUAUAUGUAUGUAUAUAUAUUAGUAAAUUUAUAAGAUAAUCUAAUAUUCUAUGGCCAUUGUAUCGAAUACAGUAAGACUUCAUAAUUGUUUUUUUUUUUUUCAAACUAACUCUAGUUAUCAUUAUAAGUGGUACAAACUUUUUCAGGAAAAGGAUAAAAAGUAAGGGCAAACGAAUGAAAGAUUGAGCGUGAAUACAGUUGAAAUUUUGAAAUAAAUAGUAGUCUUCUUUUGAGUUCAUAAUAUUAAUUCAACUUCUUGAAUACUGAUUUUAUAUUUGAAAAUAAAAAUUGGAUGGUAUUUAAAUUAUUUUUUAAAUCUAUAUAUUUUUAAUAUAUUUUUACUUUAGUAUGCUCGGAAAAAUAUAAUGGAUACUUAUUAGAUACCUAGAUCCAUGAAAGUCUGAGUUUGGACCUACUUUUUCAUACCCAUAAAGGUGUGGGUCUGGAUUUGAAUUUAACUAAAUUUAAUAGGUCUGGAUCUGAAUCAAAGGUAUCCAAUCCAAACCCUAUCCAUUGAUAUACUUAUUUCAUUACUAUCAAUAUAGUAUGCGUAUUCUUUUAAUUUUUAUAAGUCAACUAAAUGACCAUAUUUACUAAAUAUAAACAAGACUUUCAGGUCUCUAUAUGCUGAAAUCGAAUUACAAAACACUUAUUUAGUUUCUAUUUCAACAUUCUCAUAAACUUUAAUAACUAAAAUUUUUAUUAUGAAAUAUUCAUACACUAUUAGCACAAGGUCAUAUAAAAAAUCAAACAUGCUAUUUUGAUAUGAUUUGAGAAAAAAUCUAACAUAUAUUGUCAUUAUGAAUUGAAAUAUCAUUUCUCUUCAAUAAACAUGGCAGCCAAAAAUUAGCCAAAAGUCAUACAAGUUCAAUCUCAAAGUUCCUUGACAUUAAUGCUUUCAACAAUAACCGAUCAUAGUUUCAUAGAGAAAUCUUAUGCAUAAUGAUAGCAUUAGAUUUUCUGACACAUAUAUUAUUCUAAUUGCUAUAUCUUUAAAUUUAUAUCACAAGGCAAUAACACUAUCAUUUUUUGGCUACUCCCUCUUACCAUGUAGGAUCUUUCUUCUGCCUAUAUAUAUAUAUAUAUAUAUAUAUAUAUAUAUUCAAGAUAUCUGUCUCAUUUUGUAUGACUCUUCCUCAGUCUCCACAACUCUUCCUUCUAAGUUUAUUACAAAAAAAAAGGGUUUCUCUCAAUCUAUUCUUCACAAUAAUAUCUUGAAUCUUGGUUUCUUUAUUAGCUUCAUAUUUUUUUUAUUAAUAUCUUAACAAAUACCAAUGACAACCAGAAAUUUUGACUUAACUAAUAUCAAUUGUUGUUACAAUUUUUCAAGUAAUAGAAGUGACAUAUCCUAACACAAAUUAGAGAACCAAAUGGAAGAAGAUAUUGUAGGUACAUACUAAAUAAUUUAGAGGUAAAAUUUCAAACAGAAACAACUCUGUUCUUUCGUAUCUUCUAUAUGUGAUAUGCUUGUAUUCAUGAAAUUAGACUUGAACAAAUAAGCUUAUACAGGAAGUUAAAAUGCAAGCACUCGUCUUUGGAAAUGAUAUUCCACGUGUGGAUGGUCUCUUGCUACCAUUUAAGAAGUACUAUCACAAAUGCAAUAUGUCGUGUGAACCAUCAAGUAUCUAUAGCAGGAUACUAACCUUACGACUGGAUUCUCACCAACACAACUCACAAUCAAGAAAUCAAUGAGUUUAUGGAUUCAACCAUUCCACCUCAUUUUCCUUAGGACGAUAGCUUUUCUCAUAUGCAAAUUUGUGUAGAUACUGAAAGAUAUAUAAGUAUUCUAACUAUAAUUUAUUUAUUAAAUACAAUAUUACCUUAACUAUCAACUCAGCCUAACAUCCUUUUAUCAUAGUCAUACUAGGGAUAAUCAUUUUCUCUUUGCUGGUUAGAGAUAUACAAGUUCAACAACAGAGAAUCCUAGCGAAGAGUAUGACAUCAUCAACAAAAAAUAACUAAAAUUAGAUUAGAAAACUUAGCAUUUCACUCAAGCACGUGUUUAUCCACUAUUAACUAUAAUAUUUUCUAAUUUAUUAGGAAAAAAUCAGUUCUUCUCAUACUAUACAACGAAUUUAGAUGAGUGAGGAGGCACUCAUUACAACAAAUGAAGAGCCAUCAAUCGUCUUAGUUGUUAGGUUGAAAGCUAGCACUAAAAUUGUGAGAAUUUUAAUAUCUGUUCUUAACUGUAAAAUAUAAAUUUGAUAAAAAAAAAAAGAUUCAGUAUUAACGAUUGUUUCUUGCUUAGAUCUCUCUUUGGCAACAUAAAUAUUUUCCAUUAUUAUGGUUAAUCCCCGUAUCAGUAAGGUAAUGGAGUUUAAUCACUAGUAUAUAUGCAAAACUACUUAUCUUUGACGUUAAAAUCAUAAAAAAUACAACACUUAUAAUUAAUAACCUAUACAAUUAAAUAUUUGCAAAUUUCACAAUAAUAUAACAGAGUUGGUUACAUUGUCAAUCCAUGAGCUCUCCUUCCAUUAGUCAAUGGCAAUGCAAUAACCCAAAUUCGAAGAGCUAUUGAACUUGUAGGAUUUGUAAGAAUUUCACAAUUUAAAAUUAUAAUAAACCCUUGACUAUGAUUCUAUAAAUAAUAAUUUUAUACUCAUUAUCCUCAUAUUAACAGAAGAAAACAACUUGGAUUAAAGAAAUAGUUCAAAUUAACUAUCCAUAGAUAUAAUUUUGGUAUUCAACUUGUCCUAAUUGCUAUGAAACUAAUGACUUUAUAAGAAUUUGGGAAUAACAUGCCAAUCAUGCCAAAUCGAAAUAAUCUCAUACCAAGGUAAUUAAACAUGCAUGUAAUAAAAUACUACCUCUAUCUUGAAAUGCUUAUUGCUUUUUGAGAUUCCCACUUUUUAAAAAUAGUGGAUUGAUAGUUAUGUUAGUGGAUUUAUUUCCAAAAUUACUCUAAAAAAUUUAAAUUUUAAAUUUGAAUUUAGUAGGGAAUAUAGAUAAAGGUGGGAAUAAGAUUGGGAAAGAGAUAACAAUAAUUUUGGCUUUAGUAAGAUGACAAACAUUUUGGGACAUCCCAAAAUAAAGAAUAUGAAACUUUCAAUAGGAUAAAAAGAGUACCAGAUAUAGCUUAAAUAUUAGAUUUUACUGCUUUAGAAUAUUUUCCAUCAUAAAAAUUGAUUCAUUAAGUUCAACUUCCAGAGCAUGUAUUGCUAUGAAGAUAACUGAUAUAACUGGUAAUCUAAAUAUCAUGACUUUGGGAGAAGAAGUUGAAAGAUUGAUAUCUAUUACUGCCAUCCAAUUCCGACAAGCUAAUAAUGAGGUAUAAUGUGCCAAACAAAUAGAAAGAGCCUUUCAUUAUUUUCAUCUCCUAAUACGUUUUUAUCUUUAUUACUAUAGGGAAGUCCCAUGCAAAACGUGGGGAUCGAUACCUAUGAUGUAGUUAAAUAACUUGGAAGUGUUGGAGAGUUUGAUAUCAAGUGGAACACACUUAUAUGUUCCUUAAGUUUUCUAUUGUCAUAAUUUGCAUCACAUUUUUUUGGUGCUUGGCUGGAACCUUUUUCUUGAGUAAUGACCAAAGGUUGUUGGUAUGAUCCCUUACUUUCCUUUCAAUGUCUAAUACAAAUAGAAACUCAUGGUGUUAUCAUAUGUAUCAUUUUCCCCUAUAUUUAAUCUUUCAAAUAAAGUCGGGUUGUUCCUUUCAAAUAAAGUAGGAUUGUUCAAUCAGGAAUACUCACCAUUGUUUUGUUCAGUAGUUUCAAUAGAGCGAACAUGUAUUUUCUGUGCUUUAUGCUUAUUUCCCAUUGUUUUUUUCAUACUUUAUUUUUUUCUUCUAUUGUUAACAAUGUAUAUCUUUGUCUUGCCUUUUGAUAUCAAAGUUGCUUCUUAGCAUUAAAAUUAUAGAUAUUGUUUGUUUGAUCCAUCCUAAAUUUCAACCUACAGGCCUUAAACUUAAACAUAUAAAAUUUAUAUAUACCAUUUGUUUGCUUAACUACUACAACUAAAAACCACUAUUUUGAUUAAUACAUGCAUCUACAAAUAAUUAGAGAGGAAAUUAAUUUUCCUCAUUACAACACUAACUUGCAUCAAACAAUUAUCAGGUAUACGAAAUUCAGUACAAAAAAAAUAGAGCAUGUAAAUACAGCCACUUAUCUAUUCAAAUAGCAAUUUCUAUUCACACACAAUAUCUCAAUCACUUAACUAUCAAACCAAUAAAUUGCAUAAUUGCAAUAUAAUUUUCAAAGUGAAAUAAUCAUUCACACACUUGUUCAUUCGAGCACACAAUUCAAGUAGAUCAAGUACAAUUGUAAUCACAUUUAAUUAACAAAUGACAUGGAUCAAGUGGAAAUGUGGAGUUACCCUAUACCUUUAGCAAAAAAGUGCAAUCUAAGAGCAAAAUCUCUCCACACUUCACCUGCCUGCAAUAGCAAGCAUAAAGGUUUAUUCACGAUUUUGAUUGUCAAAUGGAAGCUACACAACCUAUAGACUAGAAGCAAGAGCAAACUUGAGCGUACCUCUACAAACCCAACUCUGAUACUGUGCAACAGAAUCAUCUAAAUCCAUAAUUUGUAUCUUAACAAAAGCCAUUAUUAUAACGUACUUUACAAAUUGAUGAAAAAAUGUUGAAGAAUAUGGGAGGUCCUACAAUUACUCUUGUAACAUUCACCCCAAAUGAUUUUUCACCUCUCACACUUUAAUGGCCUUAUCAACGCUGCAUUUACUAUUGUAAGAGCUGAAUUAAUGGUUCUUGAUCUUUAAAGAUGAAGAAGACAGAGCUUUUUGCCGUUACAAUUCAAGCAUUCAUCUUUAACUUUAGUGCACUAAUAUUGUCUAAUGCAUUUCAUUUGUGCAAUCAAUUCAGCUAAACAUACUCGAGGGGAGUUCAUUUUGCUUUUCUAACCACUUUGCUAAAUCAAUGACAAAGCAGCCAAAUCAUUAGCCCCCAAAGGGUACAGUAGGUAUACCAUGCGAAAUUAGGCUGCAUAAACUCAUGCAUUUUGCUUAAUAAAUGCUAUACAGUUUUAUCAUUUCCAAAAUGCCCCUACAAAUUUCAGAUGAAAAUCACCCAAGAAUCAUACAACUCCUUUAUGUAUAUAUAUAUAUAUAUAUAUAGGAAAUGAAGUCCGCGCGAUACGCGGGAUUUGGGUGCCUGUGUAUAUACAGGAUACUAAAAGAAUUAGAUACGGAGUCAAAUUAUUUUAGAUUAAAUUAAAUUGUUUCUUUAAUCAUAUGAUUGAGAAUGAGACUAAAUUGACGAAACAAGUGUAUGUAAUACUAAACAGUUUCCUUCAAAGGGAAAAAAAAACUAAACAGCCCCGACGCCAACACCAAUUUUCAAGACAUCUGUCAACAAUUUUUCAUUGAAAAACUGCUCUGCAGACAAGGGCCAUGCAACCAUUGGCACACCACAACAUACGCCCUCUAGAGUUGAAUUCCAUCCACAGUGAGUCACGAAUGCUCCCACAACUGCAUGCUCAAUAACGGUAGAAUUUGAAGCAAAAGGCAUUCAAAGAGAUGCAACUGGAACUAAUGCCCAGACAUGAAACUGUCAUUAACUUCUUCCACUAAUGUUUUGGCAAACCAUGUUCUCCAAACCUUAAUUGAAAACUAAGAGAGGUUCAAGUAAUUACAACAACACAAAGGCUAUUAGCACUUGUACCAAUUGCUUGAAAGGUCACUACAACAAAAUUACAUUCCCAAAAUACCCAUCCCUAAUUAAUUCUAGACACUAAUUAUCAAUAAAUCACCCUCUCUUGAGUUUAAUUACUAACUAAGAACGUUUACAUAAAUUCAGUGAAACAAAUGCUGUUAUCACUUGUACCCACUGCUAAAAAUACAAUUAAAAUAAUGGUACAAUCCUACAAUACCCUUUUCUUUUGCAAACAACACUUUAUGGGCAUUCACCACACAGAAGACCAUAUAUGCCAAAGCUAAAAACAAAAGCUGUAUCAACAAUUGUACUCUAUGCUAUAACAACACUCCAAAUAAUCUCAUAACCCCAAAAUGCCCCUACCCUUGCGGUUGAAAUCCAAAAGUUAUCUUUGCCUUAGACUCAUUCUUAUAUAGUAUAAGGAUAUAUAUAUAUAUAUAGGAAACAGGCUAUGGAUGUGCUCCAUUAUAUAACAUGAGCUCUCGAGGGCAAACACAUGUUGUGCUAUAUAAAGAAGACCACUCUACACAUGAGACCAAUGAAGGAAACAACUUAUACCAAACAUUAAAUGCCCUUCUUUUGAGGAAACAACAGUUAUCCUACAAGCUUUAAAUGCCCUUUUUAUUAGCUAAAAAUCCUUGAAACUUAUAACUCUAACCAAAAUGCACUCCAUUCAAACUUUUGUACAUUAAUAUCAUAUUUUAUCAUCCACUAUGAAAAUGUAAUACUUAUUAGCUACUCCCUCCCUUUUUUUAUAACAGACGUUUAAGGUUUUGCACACCAAUUAAGAAAAGUUUUUCAUUGUUUAAAUCUGUACACUACUUUCCUUUUGUACCCUCAUUAAUUGUCCAAUUCACCCAUGUUUUCUCUCACUAGAGUACUAAAUGGUGCUGUUUUACUAGGUCAAAAGUAGUAAUUAAGAACCCUGUAUUGGAAAAGAGAGAUAAAAGGGUAAAAUUGUGAAAAAAUAAUUAAUAUUGUAUGGGGAUAAUAAAACGACAGAUAAAAGUACACUAGAGCAAAUUUCUUAAACGUCAGUUAUAAAAAAAGGGAGGGAGUAUUAAACUUCACUAGAUAUCUUAAAAGUGAUUAGAGAGUUGUCAUGUUUUUUUGUCCACCAUAUAUCUCGAAACUUGAGCAUCUAGUUAAAGAUGCACAUGCAUAAGAUCAAUAGUUUGUUCAACUAAUGUAUGCAUAUACAUGCCAACCUAAAUUUCUAAUAUUCAUAGUGCAAGCUAUAGACUUUUCACUACAUUUAACUUAUUCAAUUAUAGUUUUCUUCAUCCUCUUGCUAUUUGAACUAUAGCAGAGACUAUAUUCACCCUUGCAAAUACAAAACAACUAUGAAUACAAAGAUAACAAAUAUUUUCUAAAUAAUGACUAAUGCCAUUGCCUAAUCUAAUGAUGAAAUUAAAAGAACAAAAUAAGAACCAUAUUGGUAAGCAACGGAUCUUUUGUCCCACUUCUUAUUAAAUUGCUAUUUCUUCUUUAUAAAUAUUAUAUUUUAGCUCUUUUUUGUUUCUAUAAGAUCCAUUUACUAUUAACUAAGUAAAAAAAUAAAUACAACGGUCUCAAGAAAUUAAUACAUGAUAGAAAAUUAAAAAAUAUAGCAAAAAAUUCAUAAAAAACCUCAUUUUUUUAUGCAUUUUGAUUUUUGAGUUUGUUAAAAUUUGUGUAUUACUCAAUUAAUAGUUAUUGGAUUUUAAGAAAAAAAAAAGAACUAAAUUAUGAUGUUUAUGAAGGAAAAAUAGUAAUACAAUAAAAAGUGGACAGAGAGUAGCACAUGAAGUAGGACAGAAGAUUCAUUACGAUAUUGGUAUCUAUAACAUAUCUUCCACAAUAAUGACAAUUCUAUCAUCUUUAAUCUUUCUCUCCUUAGACACAGUUAUUAGAAUCUCCCUAUCAGAUUAGGCCUCCAUUUUUUGUGUUUUAACAUUAUUGAGUAUCCCAUAGUAAGAUUCUACUAGUCCAAACACUACAUACUCCAUAAACAAGAAUCAUGACCAAUAAAAUCCAAACUCCAAAUGCUUUAAAUUGUACUUUUAGUAGAAGACUAAACCAAUACUACAUAAAGUAAGUCACCUUGCUUAAAAUCUUUUUCUUAUGUACUAUCUGAAACUCUUUUUGGCAUAUAAUAUCCCCUUUCAAUAUAUAAUAUCUGCAAUGCAUCCUUACUACCAUCUUAUAUUUAUUAUUUUACCAAUAUUUUCUAAUUAUCUAAUACAACAACUACUAAUCAAUAUAGCACAAAAUAAAACGAAAAAGAGAACAGGUACCCAAGCCCCGUGCAAGACCAAGUAGUCUAAAGCACAAGUUCUAGAAACAUUAAUGGACUUGUCAAAUGUGUUAUGAAAUAAUUAAAUAUUGUGGAUGUAUAUCACAUUUAUCUCAUCUCCUAAAUAGUGACAAGUUUUUCAUAUUCUUCAAGGUGAUACAGCUAUCAUGACUUUUGAGGUGAUAGAGAUUGCACGACUUUCAAUAAAGCUAUUACGACUUUUGAUAAAGCUGCAAAAUUGUCGAUAAAACUAUCACGUCUUACGAGAAAAUUGUAUCACCAUCUUGAAGUAAGUUAUUUGCUAUACUUUUCUCUAUAAACAGGGGUUAUCCUUCUUUGUAUCAAAGUGAUAGAAAACCGAAGUUUCAUUUGAGUGAAUGGAAGAAUAGUUCUUACUUACUUUUCCCUUUUCCUGACCUCUUUAAUUUUCUUAUUUUCUUAACAUAUUAUCCACCACAUAAAAAACUCAAAUCCUAUAUUGUAUUAGCAUUAAUUUUAUAAUACAUUAUCAGUAUGAGACUUUGUCGAAAAUAGACAUUUUUUUGGGUAAUUCUUAUGGUAAAUUUCGAGAUAAUAUUUCUCACCUUUAACUCUUCAUUUUUAUUAUGGCUAACCUUACAAAGCAAGAGUUUGUCCCUCUUGAUAUUUCUGGAAGAAAUUACUUAUUAUAGACAAUGGAUGUGAAGAUUCAUCUUGAAUCCAUGGGUCUUAAAAAAAUCAUUGCCAAAGAUAAUGAUGCAACAAGGCAAGGCUAUGCAAAAGUUAUGAUAUUCCUCCGUCAUCAUCUUGAUGAAGGAUUAAAAACGAAACAUCUUACGAUCAAGAAUCCACUUGAUCUUUGGAAUAAUUUAAAAGAAAGGUUGAACCACUUGAAGUUGGUUAUCCUUUCAAAAGCCAGAUAUGAUUGGCUUCAUCUACGGUUGCAAGAUUUCAAAACCAUUAGUAAAUAUAAUUCGGCCAUGUUCAAAAUCACCUCUUAGUUAAAGUUAUAUGGUAAAAAUGUAACUGAUGAGGAUAUGUUGAAAAAAAAUAUUUUUCACCUUUCAUGUCUUGAAUGUGCUCCUACAACACCAAUAUUGAGAGAAAAGAUUUAAAAGAUAUGUUGAACUUAUUAUAUGUCUUUUGCUGGCUGAACAAAAUAACAAAUUAUUAUUGAAAAUCAUGAGUUCUGACCAAUUGGUGCUAGUCCAUUUUUUAAAGUAAAUGUGACUCAAUCUUCGAAUUAUAGACAUAACAAUGGUCGUGGAAGAGACCGUGGAUGUAGCCACAAUCAUGGACGUGAUCAUAAUAAAUAUGUGUCUUGCCACCGUGAUCAUAACCAUGACAAGAAACAAAAUAAUGGCCAGAAGUCGAUUGAUAAGAAAAAUAAUAAGAAGAAAAAUUAUGAAAAUAAAUGCUACAGAUAUGGUAUGUUGAUCCCAUACCUGUCGUAUGACUGAGCAUCUUGUUGAACUUUAUUAGACAUCAUUGAAAAUGAAAGAUAAAAUGCUGAGAUAAAUUUCAUUGAUCAAAAGAAUAUUUGUGAUGAUGGUGAUAUCUAUAUUGAACUGGAUUUGCUAAUAUUAGUGUAAAUUUUAAAUGGAAAAUCUGGUUGUCCAUGGAGUAUUUAUAAGGAGGUGUAGCAAAUUUUUGCCUUGUCAGCUCAUUUUUUGUAGGUUAGACACUGCUUUCGUCAGGCGAACCAAGUUGCCAAUGCUUUAUCAAUGUAGGGUAUUCUCAUGUUGGAGAGGAGAUUUAUCCGGCAAUAUCAUCAUUACCUCCGCUUGCUAGAGAAGCCACAUGUCUAGAUAGGUUAGGCAUUGCGUCUAUUAGGAAGAUUCCGCACAAGCAGGUAGGGGAGUAGACCUCUGUAUCUUAUGAAGCAUCAUCAAUUGUAGUCACCCAAUUUAUAUAAUAAAAUGGGGAUUGGCAUCCCUCCCCGUGGCCGGGGUUAGCCCAAAAAAAAAAAAAAAAGAAGAUGAUAAAUAUUAAUUUAACACAUUUUGAAGUGGCCGAUUUCUUUAAGCAUUCUGAAGAUGCAAAAUGACCAUCCUAAAGAUGCAAAAUGAUAUGACAUAUAUCCGAUGAAUGUUUAAAUUUUUGUUAUUUUAUUAUUUUCACAUCUUUUAUGUAAUUUACUUUAUGAGUUAUGUAAUUUAUGAACUUUAUUAAUGUUUAAUUUUAUUUUCUUUGUUAUUUUUUCUUUGAGAAGAAAUGGAUGCCAAAUAUUUGGAACUAAAUAAUGAUGAUGACGAAAUUUAUCUCAUUGACAAUGCAACUACACACACUAUAUUCAAACAUGAAAGGUAUUUUUCCUAUUUAGAUAUGGGAAAAACAAAUGUCAAUACCAUAUAUGGUAGUGCUAAAUUGAUUGAAUAUUCCAAAAAGACACUAUAUCUUUCACUAAAGGAACUAUAAUUGUAAUAAAUAAUGCAUUAUUCUCUACUAAAUUUCAAAGAAAUUUGUUAUGUUUUAAAGAUAUCCACCGAAAUGGGUAUCAUAUCAAGAUAAUAAAUGAGACAAAUGGUGAAUAUUUAUUAAUUACAAAUAUCACUUCUAGAAAGAAAUAUGUAUUAGAAAACCUUCACUUUUCUCUGACUUAUAUUAUACAAAUAUAAGUACAGUUGAAAUGCAUCACCUGGUAGAUUAGAAGUCUACUAAUCCCAAUGACUUUAUGAUUUCACAUGAUUGCUUUGGACAUCCUGAUUCCAUAAUGAUGAGGCAAAUAAUCGAGAAUUCAUAUGGCCAUUCAUUAAAAGGUUAAAAAGUAUUAAAUUCUAAUGAAUUGCCAUGUGUUGCUUGCACUCAAUAAAAAUUAAUUAUUAGAUCAUCACCAGUCAAGGUAAGAAUUGAAUCUCCAUUUCUAGAAUGAAUUCAUUGUGAUACAUGUAGGCCUAUAAAUCCACCAUGUGGACCAUUCAAAUAUUUUGUAAUGCUAAUUGAUGCAUCAACAAGAUAGUCACAUGUAUGUUUAUUAUCUAUUUACAAUCUAGUGUUUAUGAGAUUGCUUGUUUAAAUAAUUAAAUUACGAGCACAAUUUCCUGAUUAUCCGAUUAAGAGAAUUCGUCUAGAUAAUAUUGGUGAAUAUUUGUCAUAUGCUUUUGACAAUUAUUAUAUGUCCAUUAGAAUAACUAUUGAAUAUCCUAUAACUAAUGUUUAUACACAAAAUGAUUUAAUCGAGUCAUUUAUUAAAUGACUACAAUUAAUUGCUAGAUUAUUGCUAAUGAGAUCUAAACUUUUUCUAUCUAUUUGGGAACAUGCUAUAUUAUACGUAGCAACACUUAUGAGAAUUAAACCGACAAGUUAUAAUACUUAUUCUCCCUUACAAUUAGCAUUUGGUGGUAAGCUCAAUAUUUCUCAUUUGAGAACUUUUGAUUGUGCAGUUUACAUUCCAAGUGCACCGCCUCAAUGUACUAAAUUGAAAGAGUAUAAGUCACCUUUUAUAAUUAAAUAUGUUUAACCGUUAACUGGUGAUUUAUUUACUGCAAGAUUUACAAACUGUUAAUUUGAUGAAUCAUAUUUUCUGACAUUAGAAGGAGAAAAGGAUCAACCGAAAAAGAAAAUUACUUGAAAAAUAUCAUUAGAUUUUCUUGAUUCUUGUACAAAAUAAUGUGAAUUGGAAGUUCAAAAAAUUAUUCAUUUGCAAAAAAUUGCAAAUCAAUUAUCAGAUGCUCUUAGUAAUGCCAAAAAGAGUUAUUAAAUCAUGUAUUAUUGUAGAAAAUGUUCCAGUUAAAAUUAACAUCCAAAAGGACAAUUACAAGUGCUAAUGAAUCUAAAGCACACCUAAAAUGUGGUAGACCUUUUGGUUCUAAAGAUAAAAUUCCUCAAAAUAAAAGAGAAUUAAAUAACAAUAAAAUCAAGGAGUCAAUAAUUGAUCAUAAAUUUUAAAAUACUGCUAGUGAUAAAAUUUAACUUACUUAAGAGGUUGCUCCUAAAGAACAUAUCCCUGAAGAUGAUCAAAUUAUAGAAGCUUCAAUAAAUUUUGUUACUAUAGGAAAAAUUUGAAACUGAAAAGAAAUAAUUAUUGAUGAUAUUUUUGCAUAAAAUGUGGCACUUAAAAUUAUGAAAGAAGAUGAGAAUCAUAAACCUCGAUCGGUUGAUAAAUGUCGGCAAAGAUUUGAUUGGCCGAAAUGGAAAAAUGUUAUCCAAUCUAGAUUGGACUCAUUGGUUAAAAGAAAAGUUUUUGAACUUGUAGUCCAAACAUCUGAAGGUGUAAAUUCAGUGAGAUAUACAUGAGGGGUAUUUAUAAGAAAAAGAAAUGAGAAAAAUAAAAUUAUAAGAUACAAAGCAAGGCUUGUAGUCCAAGAAUUUUCACAAAGAUCUACAUUUGAUUAAAAUAAGAUGUAGUUACCUGUAGUAGAUGUGAUCACAUUUAAAUAUCUUGUGAGUUUAGCAGUGCAUGAACAUUGAGAUAUAUGUCUAAUGGAUGUAGUCACUAUUUAUUUAUAUGGGAAUCUUGAUAACGAUAUCUACAACAAAAUUCCUAAAGGAUUCAACAUGCCCGAGGCAUAUAAAUUAAAUUCUAAAGAUAUUUGUUCUAUUAAAUUGCAAAUGUUUUUGUAUGGGUUUAAACAAUUUGAAUGUACGUGGUAUAACCAUUUCAGUGAAUGUUUAAUUUAAGAAUGUUAUACCAAUGACUCAAUAUGUCCAUUUACUUUUAUAAAGAAAAAUGGGUCAAAUUUUGUAAUUAUCGCAGUGUAUGUUGAUGAUCUUAAUUUAAUUGGAACUCUUGAAGAGUUCCAUAAGGUUGUUGAGUAUUUGAAGAAAUAAUUUGAGAUUAAAAUUUUUGGAAAGACUAAAUUUUGUCUUAAUUUACAAAUUGAACAUUUGGAAGGUGAAAUUUUUGUCUAUCAAACUACUUAUACCCAGAAAGUAUUAAAGCAGUUUUAUGUGGAUAAAGCACGACCAUUGAGUACUCUGAUGGACAUCAUGUUUCUUGAUCCGGAUAAGGAUCCUUUUAGACCAAAAGAGGAAGAUGAAGAUAUUCUUGGUCCUGAAGUACCAUAUUUUAUUGCAAUUUGUGCACUAAUAUAUCUUGUUAAUUGUACAAUAUCAAAUAUAUUAUUUGCUAUAAAUUUAUUAACAAGAAUUAGUUCCUCUCCUAUAAGACAACAUUGGAAUGGUGAAAUUGAUGUGCAACAGAUCCAAUCUGAUAAAAUCUUGCAUAUUUAUUUACCAAAACAUUGCCGACUGCAACGUUUAAAAAAUUAGUGAACAAUAUUGGAUGCAUCGGCUAAAAGAUCUCAAAUAACAUUUGAAUUAGGGGGAGAAAUUUAAAUACAAGAAUAGUGUACUCUUUUUCCUUCACUAGGAUUUUUUUUCCACUGGAUUUUUUCUAGUAAAAUUUUAAUGAGGUAUAUUCUUUGUGUAAUAGACAUCCAAGGGGGAGUGUUAUGAAAUAAUUAAAUAUUGUGGAUGUUUAUCAUAUUUAUCUUAUCUCCUAGAUAGUGACAAGUUUUUCACAUUUUUUGAAGUGAUAAAGUUAUAACGACUUUUGAAGUAAUAGAGAUGACACGACUUUUAAUAAAACUAUUACGACUUUUGAUAAAAUUGUAUGACUGUCGAUAAAACUAUCACAUCUUAUGAUAAGAUUGUAUUACUAUCUUGAAAAAGUUUGCUGAUGCACUUUUCCCUGUAAAUAAGGUUUGCCCUCCUUUGUAUCAAAGUGAUAGAAAAUUGAAGUUUUAUUUGAGUGAAUGGAAGAAUAGUUCUUUCUCACUUUUCUCUUUUCCUGAACUCUUUAAUUUUCCUUACUUUCUUAGUAUAUUAUCCACCACAUAAACAACUCCAAUCCUAUAUCACAUUAGCAUUAGUUUUAUAAUAAAAUGUGUUUUGUGGGCUUGUAGCAUUUAGUCAUUACAGGGGCCUGUAUAGCAUUUAGUCAUUAGGCAUUUAGCAUUUAGUAUAGUUUGGCAGACAUUGUAAACAAUAGUAAUUUUUUUUCCAUAUUUUUAUAGUAUUGGAGUUUUAAUUUUGUUUCUCUGUGACAGGUUAUGGCAUAAAAAUUAUUCUAAAAAGAUUUUUUAUUUAACCUUUCAUUUGUUUCUUUUAGUGUUUUGAUCUUUAUCACUAAUUGAGUCGUGAAUACUGCAAGCAUGGUCAAGUUUGGACCGAACUUUGGACCGAACUUUGGACAAGUUCGGUCUCGCAUUCUUUUUUGUUUGGGUAAAGUUAGGAAUCUUAGUGGAUAGUAUUUUUUUUUUAUUAUUGAGUAGUUAUUCAAUACACUAGCAAAGAAAUGGUGUUUGCGUCAUUUUUAUUUGAAUUGAUGUUGAUUAUUAAUUGGAUUAUGUAUGAGUAAAACCGUUAGAAAGAACUGUAGGUGUACUUUUUUUUUUUUUUCAAAUGUUUAAUUCUUUUCAUAUUGAGAAGAAUGUAGUUUUUUUCUCAUGUUCUAUUUUUACUUGUUAUUUAUUAUUGGAACAUUUUAAACCUGUUUCUUCCUUGCUUGAUUGUGGGUUUCAAGUUGUUUCUUAAAGCACCUGGUCAUUCUUCCAAUUGUUCUCUUGUUGUAGCGUCCUUCUGAGUUUGACUUGUGGAAUGAGAUAUACUUGUUUUAUCAACUAAGUACAAUCAAUCAAUAUAAUUAUUGUUUCUUUAAUGAAUUUAUACUUGUUUUUAUCAACCAACUUAAAAAUAGAAAAUUAUACAAAAAAUAAUCAAUGAAUCAAUAUAAUUAUUGAUUCUUUUUCAGCAGAAUUUUGUACGUGUGAUCAUUAGUGCUUAUCACUUAAAAUAAUUUGGUGUGGAUUCAUCCAAGUAAAUUUAUGUAUCUGCAAAUAGAAAUACAAAGCAGAAAGACAAAUGAAAAAAGAAUCGGCUGAUUUUGUUUUUGUCUUUACAAACAAUAAUUGGUAUAUUUUUCUAUUCUAAGGAAAUGUCAUAUAGGAAUUGGCCUAUUAUGUGGGAGUUUAUCUCUUACAAUCAUUUCUUUUGGGUUCCACACAUUGAUGCCUUCCUAGUGUUCUUGAUGUCUUUCUUUUAUGCAUACUUAUUUUUAUUUUAUCAACCAAAUAGAAACAGAAAACCAUAUGAGUAAUGAUCAACACAUAAUGGUUCUUCUUAAAAAAUAAAAAAAAAAUUAACAUUUUUUUGAAUCGAUUUGGUUGGUAUAGAUAACGUAAUUAGAUCUGAGAUUGUUGAUCAUUUUAAGGCUCUUGUGGAAUGGAUUGGUGGCAUGCUAUUCUUGAAGAUCAAUCACUAAAUCAUGGAUGUUAUCUGCAUAUUGAGGUUCUUGCCAAGUUUGUUAGAUGGGAGCUGCAUAUAUGUACGUACAUAUAUACAUCAUAUACCCAAUACAUAAUUUUUGUUUUCCUAUUUUGUGUUGAAAUGUGGAGAUGGUUUGUCUAAUAAGUAAUUUUAGUGAUAAAGUUUGUAAUUUUGAUUAUUUAUAUUUUUUUUUAUCUAAUGCUUGCUUAAGAAACAAACAGUAUCAAAUUAAAUUUCAUUAACGAAUUGUUAAAAAUCGUCCAACACGACUUAAUUUACAUCAUUGUUCAAAUUGCAGAUUUAACAUGUAUUAGAAAUAACAUAUCUAUAAUUUAACAGAUACAAUUAUUUUAUUUCAGUGUGUAGUACAUGUUGGCAGCUUUUUAUAUUUUUCUUCCACUGUCUCAUUAUUGUGCUAAAGUUGCAUUUGAGGAUUAAUUUUAUGUAAUAAUUGUCUUCUCUCCAUCUCUGGUUUUCUGUCACCACUGAAACAUGCAUGACCAAAACUAUGCCAGGAUGAAAUAAUUUAGCAGUAAUUUAUAUGCGGUUGACAAUCUUCCACGAGCAAUUCAUUAAUUUAAUAGUCAACUCUUUUCCUAGCAAACUUAGGCAGAGCAUAGCCACAAGUUAAUUAAAUAAAGAAUUGGUUUGGCUUAAGUUUUGGCCUAUAUGAGUGCUUAUCUAGUCUGCCAAAUAUUUAUUUUACUUUUCUGCUACUAUCAAAAAAUAUUACUUUUUAGCUGGACUGCCCAUAUUUCCCUUUCAAUCUUAGUCAUUAAAUUUCCAAAUUUAAAAUUUUUAGUCACAAAAAUUUUUCUUGAGCCAAAAUCGUCAACUAGUAACAAAAACGUACAGUUUUUUGUACUCAACUAAUAAAGAAGGCGUACAUUUUUUGAUAACUAGAUUGUGUGAAACUGACACUUCUGGUCAAGUGCUGUCUAUUUUAAUUAAUUGAUUGACCAUUUUAGCUUAAAAAAUGUUCAAAACAAAAAAUUUUCAAUAGGUCAGCUACCAUUUGCGCCAUUUCCCUAAUUUCUUAUGUUCUUUAUUUAGAACAUGAAACUUAAGGUGUACAACUUGGAACUGAAAGUUUACUCCAUGGACUUUUUGACCCUUAAUUCAGUUUUUUUUUUCGGUCCCUUCUUCUAAGUGACUCCAAUUCUUUCUUUCUUCCUUUGUGUGUGUGUGUGUGUUUUUUUUUCCUUUUUUUUUUCAAUUGGUGUAGAAAAGAGAGUAAUAUUCACUUACCAUCAGAAGAUUAACUAUAGCAGCAGCUCUCAAGACCAAUACUAUCAGCUGAUUCUUUUCAUUAACACAUAUUUUAAAAGGCACUCUGAUUCUUUUCAUUCCAAUUGGGAGCCAUUUUCUCUUAGGGUACGUUUGGUUCCCAUAGAAUUGGAGAGUAGAAUUGGAAUUGGAGCUCCAAGCUCCAAUUUCAAUUCUUGUGUUUGGAUACUAUCUUUUCUGUAGAAUUAGAAUCGAAUUGCAAUUCCAAAUCGAUCGAAUUCCAUGGUUCCAAUUCUUUGGCUGGACCAAAGAAUUCCAAUUCUAAUUCCACGACUGAACUCCUCAAUCGGGUCAACACGCGGGUCUUGUACGGGCAAAAUCUCAAAAAUGGGUCAACUAUAAAAGUGAUGGAAAAAACUCAAACCUCUCUUCUCUUUCCAUUAUCAAUCGCCAUAUCUAAUGCUCUGUUGGAGCAUUCCUGCCGCCGCCUCCUUCACUUGUGCUGCCUUCACCCAUCACUAAAGGCUUGAACUGAGGCGAUGAAGAAGAGAGAAGAGAGGAGUGGCGCAGGCCAACGUAAGACAGGACCUGAGUCAGCGACGACGUGCCUCUGAUGAUCUGAACGAAGAUCUGGAAGAAGAAAGCCAGCCAGUUUAAUAGUGCUCUCCAAACUUGUAUAGUCUUCGGCGCGUAGACGUCGGCGGAUUGAGCCAGCUCCGCCAUCAUACAAGGCUUUUGAGUUUUGGCUCACUGAUUUUUGUUCUUUUAUAGUUAGUAUCUUAAUUUUCCAGUUAAGUAGGAGUUUAUGUAUGGGUCUUAUAAGAAGUGUGGUGAGGAGUUUUGGGAAUUCAGUCCAUAAUUUUCAGUGGUGGCGUAGGUGCCGACGGAGUUGUGGUCAAGGUGGUGCCUCGACGAAGUGGUUGUGGUGUUGAUUGAGAGAGAGAAAAGGACACAAAGAAAGGGAAAAUGGGAGAGUUAAUGACACGCGUUUGGGGAGGGUGUCUUGGGGGGAUGAAAAAGGAAAAGGAACUUGGACGUUUCAGUUCUAUACUAGUAGUAGUUGAUUCAUUUUACCACUACUUUUCUUGAUUCUUUUAAAAUUUUCUUUCUUUUCCGUUCUUCAACUGUAAAUUUCGGGGCUUUGGCUGAUAUUUUGCCAAAAAAGAAAGUAAUUUGCAUUUUUCCUUUAAAUUUUUAGUAAAAAUUAGCUAAAUGUAAGAAAAAAAAGAAAUUAUUAUAUAAAAAAAAAGAAAAAAAGAAAAAUUUUAUGUAAGCAAAUGUUUUAUGAAAACAAUUCUAAUUCCUAAUGAAUUCUUCUCUCAUCCAAACAAAAAAUUUGGAAUUCCAAAUAAAUUCCGUAUCAAUUCUAUGUAUUUUCCAAACGAAAGAAUUGCAAGGAUUUGGAUUUCUAAUUCAUAGAAUUCAAAUUCUAUAGAAUUUUAAUUCUAAUUCAAUUUCAAUUCUGUAGAACCAAACGUACCCUUAGUUCUGACAAAAUUGUGGUUGGUUUCAGGGAUGCCUUUUGUGCAGAAUCAGAUUAAAAAAUGCAAGUAAAACUGUGCACUUGAAAUGUAAACCUUAUCGAAAUAAUUGAAAAGCAUUAUGUUUAUCAAUAUUUUUCACAAUAUAUUAUUUGAUAAUGCAAUUCAACACUUAAAUUUAAUAUAUUCAAACGCAUUUUAUAACAAAAAAUUAAACAUCUGAUUUAAUUAAGUACUACUGAAUUUACUAGACAAAACUCGCUCCCAAAAAUAAGCGAUAAACUGUUCACUUACCACUGAAUGUGAUAUACAGUAAAAUGUAUUUAAUUUAAUGCUUAACAAUUCAAUAACUUAAUGAAUUCAGACUUCCGACUUCAAUUCCAAACUUUUAUCAAAUGCACCCUUAGUUUUUGUCGAAAUCUUGCUGUUCCAUAUGACUUCCAAUAUGUAUUCUAACACAAAACAAUUGCACUUUCAAGACUACUGAAAUACACAGCUGCUCUCCCUAGAGUCAGAAGCAAACAUACUUCCACUUCCAGAUCCAAUAUGGCAAACAUAAGUAGCAUCAGCUUAGCUCGUUGUGGAGAGGCCAUUUUGAUCAUAACAGGAUAAGUCCAUUGAACGUGUGCUUGUAAUCUUAGCGAACAAAGACGCUAUAAAGGAAGAAAUACAUCAAGAGUCCUCCUAAGAAUUCAAUUUGUUCAACUUUCCACAAUAUUUACAUCCUUUGGUACAGCAACCUAAACGACUAAUUCAUGAAUUCGACACUAAUUUACAGACAACAAACAUGGUCGAUAAACAUUGAAUUCCUUCACUCGUGCUACAAUAUUGAGUAUACCCGUAUGCAUUUCUUUUCUUCGGUUUCUGGCUUCUUCUGGCUUCUGUUCGUCCCCUUCUUCAGGAACGUAACCGACAUGCUGACACUAUAUUAUUUUAAAGAAUACAACAAAAAUGUUUCAGAUAUCUGAAACAUACAAUUCUUUCUUUUAUACAGUGCAGGAACUCAGUUUCCCUGCAAUUCAUGGUUUAAAGCUUGAGCUUUAAAAUCAUGGACCAAAAUAAACAUUUUCUCAGCUUUUCUGAGAUUCUUCCAUUUCAAUUCGGGACAUAUAGGAUGACACUAUGCCAGCAACCCUGCCGAACUUUGGUAAAUUUGAUCAACAUGGGCAACAGGCACAUAAACUGCAUCCCGCAGUGUGCUGUGCAUACGGCCGUAGAAAAGAUAUACAACCAUUCCAAUGAACAGCCAUACUGAUACUCGGAUCCAAGUUGCAGAACUGCACGUGCAAGCAUAAGCAUGAGCAGCAGGAUGAAAAUAAUACAAACAGCAGUCAUUAGCUAUGAAGCUGUUGACACAUUUUGCUAUAAAAAUCAAUCCCUUUUAUAUCUUGGUGACCAACAAAUGAAGGACCAGAGACAAAUUCCAAAUGCUGAACUUGAGAUUCCAAAGACAAUAAUUUCAUCGAAGUAAACAUAUAGAGAGUCCAGUAACUGGGGAGUUAUUAACGUCAGUAUUGAAGAUCAUAAAUAUAAGAAAACCUGAGUAAAACUCCACUAAAAAGAUAUCAAGUGCUUCUUGAUGGAGAAUCGUGACUAGUGAAGAGCCAAAAGAAUAAGAACUAGCUAAGUACUCACCCAAGAUUAAUCAACAAGUACGCGUUGAUGAGAAUGCAGGCAAUUGGUAGCAGCGGGACAAAUGGGCAAAUGAAACCUGAGCAAGGGAAAGAAGGAGAGACUUUAGGACACUUUAACUCCCACAGACAGCUUAAGUAAGAUAUCAAAAUCACUACAGGUCAAUAUUUUUGAAGAACCGAACACAAACAGAACCAUGAGUUCUAUUUUAUGUUCAGCUCUUCAAAAACUUCUAUUUUCGUUUACACAACAUCACCACUAAAUCAUGUCCAUAAAUGAGCUUAUUCAUUUUUGGCAAAUAUUCAGAGAAGAACCAAGCCAUACUAUGGCAAUAAUGAAAGCAUUAGAUACGCAAAUCAUCUCUAAGUGUUGGAUCCAGCUAACAUAUAACCAGAGCAUACCUCCUGAGUGCCCGAAAUUGUGUCUAGCUUCAUCUUGGUCUAUGAAAGUCAGAACUACCAGACCAGAUAAAAGAAGAACGCCACCAAUUCCACAGGUUGUAUACCGAAGAUAACUGGCAAAAUAUCAGUGGGUUAUGAAUUACACAAUUGUAUGAUAAAAGCCCCUGUGCACUCAACCUUCUCCAGUAUUUUUAACAUUCCAAUCAUACUUUUCUGGCCUUUCAUUGAGUAAUUACAUAAUCAACCUUUGGAUAUUACAGUAUCACAAAAUUACCCACCUUGGGAGGCCCAAAUUUGAAGCAGCAUAUGUAAGCACAAGCACACCAACACAAGUAAACAUAAUGGUCCAGCCAGCAAUUUUCCUUCUGUUCUCCUCAUUUACAACAACUGUGAAAAGCAGAAAACAAUAAUCAAUAUAUGGAAAGUCAAAUAGAAGUACAGGAAUGACUUCUCUAUAUAUCAAAGAAAUAGUCUCAUAAACCAAGCUUGUUAACCCAAAGGCGAGAAAAUUUUGGAUCUUCAGAUCACUUUGUAAUCUCAGUAAACUCUCUGACUAGAAUUUGGAAAAAAAAAAUUACAUUUCUGACAAGAAUGCUGAAAACUUACAGCAACAUUUUGCAUCUGAUUUCUCUAAUAGAGGAUGUUCAGCGGCUCCCUGCUUGCAAACUAAAAGUGGAGUGCUUUCACAAGAGGAUAUGUGAACUUUAGGAUUCUCCACUUCAAUUAUCCCAUUAUUACUGCUACAACCAUAUUGCACAGCUACUGAAUCUAUUGCAUCCUGAAAAGAUGGAGGAAAUGGAACCACAUCCGGUGGAACGUAUCUGAGUAUCAGCACAGAAAUCGCCACCAUUGUAAAUGCAAGAAGUGUGCCAACACUGACCUGCAAGAAACUAAAUCCAUCAAGAAAUGCAACUCCACUAUACAAAUUAACUCCAAAGUCUUAUGAAUUCAGCAAGGACUCUGUCCAGAAGAAUUAGGUAAAUUGGGUCUUGUGGUUCUUGUUCCGGACAUUUGGCUAACCAUGAGGUAAUAGUAAGUUCUUGCAUGAAGAAAUGAGUUCAGAACAGUGACACAAGCACAUUGAUUCUGCAUAACACACCCACCUGAUCGUGCACACGAAUAGAGCAAUCCUGGAAAAUUAUUAUUUCAGAGCAAUAAUAAGCAUACCAUUCCUGCCAACUGAUCGACAUCCAUGAAGAACGCUAAAGUUCCAGAAAGCAAGCCAGUCACAACAGUGCUUUUGACAGGAACUUGCGUCCGUUUGCUAACAUCAGAAAAAAAUGAAGGAAGCAAUCCAUCACGAGCCAUUGCCAUAAGGAUUCGAGGCUGAGAAAUAAGACAAAAUAUUAUUAUGUUUUCGUGUGCAAAUGGGCCUUUUUUUUAUAUACAGAGAUAGAGAGGCAUAGAUAGUAGCUAUACCAACGAGGCAACCAGUAAAAGAUAAUAAUCUUCUUAACAAUUUGUAUCGACCGAACUAAAAUGUGAACAUCAUAAAGGUGCAACUUUAAGAGUUGGCAAGUCAAAAAUCAUAGUUAUACCUGAGGCAACAUAGAACCCAUCAAUGUUGAGCAAAGAGCAGUACAAGCUCCAACAGUUAUUAUAUAUCUUAAUAGAAACAAAACAGAGAAGUAUUAGGUAAACUUCAACAUGCAAGAUUUACCUCACAUGCCUAAUAUCUAAAAAAAAAAAAAACUGAUGCUCAUUGAAAAUGUUACAAAAUAAAUUUACAUACGCUGCCCAGUUGAUUCCAUGAGUAGCAAAUGCUGAAGAGAUAGGAGUGUCAGGAUCCAUUGAGUAAUAAGGAACCAAGCCAACAAUUACUGCAGAGACCAACAUAUACAGCAUGCAACAUAUAGACAGUGCGAAGCCAAUCCCCAUUGGCAAAUCUCUUUGAGGAUUUUUAACCUGUUAGAAAGUUAAGAGCUCAAAAUAGAAUGACAUGACUCAAUAAAUCUUGCUGAAAAAAAAUACCAAGCCAAAUCAAAAGUACCUCUUCAGCUGUACUAGCAACUGAAUCAAAUCCAAUGUACGAAAAGAAGACAGUGGAAGCUCCAGCAAGCAUUCCAUCAACCCCAAAAGGGAAAUACCUAACAAUCCAUAAAAGAUGAUGACAAAAUUGAUUACAGAUACUUUAAUGAAACUGUAACUAUAAAAUUUCUUACCCAAGAGGAAGUUCAUAACCCGGCCAUCCAGUCUUGAAACCCAAAUAUCCACCAACUACAAUGACAAAUAUCAUUGCACAUAUGUUUGCACAAGUAACAAUUCCUUGUACCAGUGUACUCUGCCAAAGUAUUUUGUGUAAACAAGAUGAAUAAAAUCAAUUCGAAAGAAUAAUCCAGGAACUACUCAGAAGAUAUACCUCCCUGAUUCCAACACAUAACAGUCCAGUGGCAACAAAAACUAGAAUUGUUGCACUUGGGUCAACUACAAUAUUAAGCCCAGGGAUGGUUUGACGGGCAAGAAAAACAGGGAGCCUAUCUGCACCUCCAAAGAGCAAUGCCUGUCAAGUGAAAGAAUAAUUAAUCAACUUCCAGAAAAGAAGACAGGACCAGCAUACUUCUGAAUCCCCAAUCAUCUAAACACAUGAUCAAUAAAGGCGAUGAGACGAGUAGUGGAAGUCUAUUCAAGCAAUAAGGAUUUCAUUUUGUUACUCAUUAUUCAGGCCAUAGGCUUUGUCCCUAUAACACUAGUCCAAAGAGUCACUAAAAUGAUUAUAAAUGGAGAAGAGUAAUAAGACACACCACCAGAGUAUUAUCCUACUGAAGGAAAGGUCAAACUGAUAUAUGCAAGCAAUUCAUACUUAUUUAAUUAUGAUGUGGUUGCAAAAAUGAGAAGUGAGCAGCUGACACCAAAAUUAAUAAAAUUGAUAUUACUAGACUGGCUCAAAAAACCAAAAUAAACCAACUAAAGCAUGAAGUUUGAUGAGAAAGCAUAAUACCAAAUUAGGGGAUAUGCCACGAGCAACUGCAGAGCCUCCAAUGGUGUAUUCCAAUAUCAAUGCCCAACCGAUGAGCCAAGCAACCCUGUCAAAUAUUUGGUUUUGAAAAUCAACAACUAAAUGAUCACAAACCUCAAGAGGAAUGACCAGAUUGAUGCCAUUGACAUUCUGAUUUUCUAAGCACCAUUCCGAUAUGCCAUUGACAUUCUGAUUUUCAAGAGAAUAUUUUGCAAUUUCAUAAUCUAAUUAUGCUUAUUAAAAACUUAAUUGAAAAAAAAGUUACGUCCAAACUACUUUAUUUGCAAAAUAAUGCAUAAUUAAACACCUACAAGCAUGAAGAAAUUACCCUUCCCCAACACAAAUGUAUGAAUAAUGAUAGGCACUUCCAGCUGACGGACAGCGACUAGCAAGCUCAGCAUAGCAGAAGGCAGAAAGGGCAGCUGCUAUACCAGCUAUUAAGAAGGAAAAAGUGAGGGCCGGCCCAGAAUGCUCCCUGGCAACUGUACCAACAAGAAUGUAUACCCCAGCUCCAAUGGUUGAACCAACUCCUGAAAAUUGAAGAACCAAGCAACAUGAACAAGUUCUAAAUCAUUAAAAUCAAUCACUUCAUCAACACGUGUAACCCAAUAACUAGCUGCAAAAUUUAACGUUGUUUGAGUAUAUUACGGUAAAAAUUCAAUUUUGAGCAUCCAUGUUUGUCAAUAUGGUCCUUGGUAAGUAUGAAUCAAUAUAAGUCAGUACAAAAAGCUAAAACAGGAUUAAAUCAGCCAACAAAUAAGCUCUGAACAAUAUGUGAUCUAGAAAAGAAAAAAAAGUACAGGAAAAAAGAUUCAAAACAAAUUUAAACUAAAGAAAAGACGUUCAGAAGAUUUUUAUCAAAAACAGUUACCUAUGGCAAUGAGAUGAGGAACGGUCAAAGCCUUGGCUAACUGAUGAUGAUGGUGAUGAUGAUAAGAAGGUUCACCAGAAGCAGAAGAUGAAGACUUUGACUCAGCAGAAUCAACCAGUUUCCUCCUUAUUAGACCUUUCAACAAUCCUCCUCCUCCUCCACCACUACCACCAUAUCCAUUCUUUUGCGAAUCAGAAGCAACAAAGGCCAUCACUAUUUGCCCAAUUGGGUACCCAAAAAUUCAAUCUUUUCCUUUCUUUUCAACCUUCAGCCCUACAAAACAUUCAAUUCCCCAAAUGGGUUUUCAAAUUUAUGGUCCUUUUCCCAAGUUCCAACCUUCAGCUCGGGGAUUGCAAAAUGAAAAUUCAAUCUUUUAACCAAAAUUUUCCCCUUAUGCUGCAAGAAGAAAAGGGUUGCUGGUACACGGUUAGAGAAGGAGAAUUCUGCAAAUCCCAGCGGCCCAGAAGAGAGAUUCGGCAGAGAUUCUCUGUGUGUUAGGCCCCGGGAAGCAGACGUGAAGGGGGGUGGGGGGAGGGGUUGCGGAUAGAUUCAGCAAUGCUUACAUAGAAGAAUCCAGCAAAGAAUCUACUUUAAGCAAUGAUGUAUUGAAUUGAAUUUACAGGGGAACUAGUCAUGCUAUGUGGGCACGGCAAUUGGGUUGUUUCUCUGUGGGAAGAGAUCAAUUAUUAAUUUACUUAGUCAUGCUAUGUGGGGUCUCUCUGACACGAGUUAGUUGGCAAACGUCAGCAUGUUUGUGACAAAAAGGAAACCUAUGGAAUUAUUAUUAGGGUCGUCAAACAUUCAAUGGUUUUAGAUUCAAAUGGGACUGAGAGAAAAGGUCAAGAGAGAUUCAAAUGGGACUAAGUAAGAUGUUCACCACAUUGUUCAAACAAAGCAAAUUCACGUGUGGUGGGCAUAAACGGGUGCUUUCCUAGCAAGGGGAGCGAGGGUGAGCUUGGAUUGGAUGAGAGUUUUGGAUUCUCGAAACGGAUACUCAUAAAUAAGAGAUGGCAAGAGUUCCUUCCCCACUCUAAUUUGGUUUUGGGUGGUUUUGUUGUUGUUGUGUUGGGGAGUUGGGGGGAUUUUUUCUUUUUUCGUUAUAAUAAAGUUUUAAAAAAAUAAAUACUUAGAUAUAAUUUUAAAGAUAUAGACAUUAUAAAUACACAUCAAUAAUAUGUGCACAUAUAUAUAUAUUAUGAUUUAUGAAUUAAAGGUAUCAUAAUUUGUAUGAUAAAAAGAUGAUUAGACUAUUUUAAGUUUAUUUGAAUUUUUUCAUAUAUUGUAAGUUGUUUAUAAAAAAUAAAAAUAAAAAUAAAAUGAUGCUUAUAAGUUCAUAUUUGUUACUGUAUUAAAUAUGGAGAAAUGAAUUCAAAAUAUCAAAAUAAAGUUUAUACUGAUUUCACGUUAAAUAUUUAGCUUAAAAUUUAAAAGAAUGAUUUACAAAAUUAUUAUUGAUAUUACAUAUGUAGAUAAAUAAUGUCAAAAUAAAAAAAUAAAAUUAUAAUUAGCCAAUAGUAGCGGUAAAGGCACUAGUGGGAAUGGGGGGCAAGGAGAGAGAGGGAGAGAUGGGGGUAAGGGAAGUAGGGGACGAGGCGCGGGUCAAGGAGAACUUUACAACAUGGGCGUUCUAUUACCAUUCCUACUAAUAAAACCUGUUGGUAGAACCAAACAAAAAACCAAUAAUUCCAAUUGGUCGCCCUCUUCCUACACUCUCGGGCUCAAGAUUCCAUUCUUUUCCAUUGGCAAAUUUUUACAUGAUUUGCUUUCAGUGCAAAAAAGAUUUAGUUUAAAAUUUGUGCAAAUUCUGUUUAUUUCUUUAGGCGUAUAAAUAUGUGAAAAUUCUUGUUGUCUUGUAAAAAUAUAGGAUCUAAUCUUAUUAAAAUUUUGUGAAUCUUUGCAAGAUUUUGGUGUUCGCAUACGUUUAUUAAAACAUGGAAUUUGUAAUUUUAAAGUGACUGUAGAAAUGCACAAACUAGAAAUAAAAUUGACAAAUAAAUUACUUUUUUCUAUGAACUGCUCUUUGUUUUAAUUUGCUUGACUUGUGUGCGAGUAGAACUGUAAACGAAUUGAGUUAAGUUAGAUAUCUCAUGUUUGAACUCUAUUCAUUAAACUACUCGAACAAGGUUUGUGUUCGCUCGAUAAUUUUCGAAUUUGAAAUCUCUAUUUGUGUUCGCCUCAUUAAUUAAAAUACUAGUUUGAGUUAGAGCUCGGGUUCGCUUCGUUUAACAUAAAUGAGCCAAUCUCAAAUAGGCUCAAGAAGUUCAAAUUCAAGUUCUUUCUCUCAAAUAAUCAAUAGAUUCAAUGCUAAACGAACCAUCUAAUCCUAAAUUUUAUGAAAUGAUAAUUAGGCCUAAAUUCGUGAACGAUCGUUUAAAUUCGCAAACAAGACUAGUGUUCAUUCGAUUACUUAUCAAGCCAAUAUUUUUUUAAACUCGACUCAUAUAAAAGUUUCAACAAGUCGUUAUCGAACACAAACAGCUUAAAUAAGUUGAGCAAUCGAACAGUUUGACUAGCAUAAUAGCGCUAUGUGCGAGAGAGCGAGGAUGGCAGUCCAAUCGCAUAAUAGCACUGUGUACGUUUGUAUGUAUCAUACAGAUAAAAAACUGACCUAGUCUAGGCUUAAUUCUGGACUAAAAUAUACUACAAAUGGCAUAAACGUACAAAACAACAAAAACUUGGAUGAGCAUGAAUUCACAGCCUCUUCAGUUUGGUAUGGAAAAUUAGAGAAUUAAUUAAUAGGAUUGGAACACAAGUUAAGUUGUGCCGUGAAGAAAAAUUGUGCACUGGUGUGCUGGCUAGGAUCAAUAUUAGCUUGCAGUUUGAAUUUAUAUGUUUGUUCUUCGAUCCUCAAGAUUCCUUGAAAAUUUUGUUAAAAAAAAUACGAAUCUUAUGGGUGCAUUCUAUAUUGGAGAUAUAGCUUAGUAUUCUUUUUCCAAAAUGCCACAAACAGUUGUCCUCAUUUUAACUCGGAAUGCAGCAUCAUUUUCCCCUCUAUUACUGAGAAAAAAAAUAUCAUAGAGAUGCAUGACUGCGUAAGCUUAGUUAUGGACUAGGCUUAUUCUGCAAAUGGCAAAUACGUUUGAGAGCAUCAAAUAGCUUGUCUGAGCUUUUCUGUGUAGCUUGAGUAUAUCGACUGUUGCAACAUUAAAGUAAAAUUGGCAGAUAAUGAAUAGGUUAUCGCUGCAAUCUCCUCGUGUCAAUCACCAAAGUACCCGCAUGAGAAUUCAUUCUUCGAAAUUAUAAUUUUUUUUUCACUUUAUAAGCUAAACUUUUAUUCUCUACUUGUUGCACCAUUGAACUCCAGAAGUUCAGGUCACAAGGUCCAUACGUAAUCUUCCCUGCAAUUACCUAAUAAUGGCUUCGGAAGUAUGAUUGCUAGGAUCUUUUAGAUAUUCCCAAGUUUGAUUAUGGACUAGAAUUAGUGGAAAUGUGUACAUGGAAAUCAUGUCCAAGAAUUUCACAGAAAUAAUUGAACAAGAUUUUAUGUUGUUUCCUUUUCUUUUUAAUAAAAGGCAUAUCACAGGGCAUAUGGGGAUGUAUAAUCCGGCCAUCAACCAUAUUUGUACAAUUUGAAACUAAAAUUUUUGCACUCUUGGAGCCUGUAUUCUAGUUCUUUUAACAGCUACAACGUCUAGAAUAAGCAAUUCUUGUCAGCAAAUUGCUGGGUGAAAAUUGGUUUCCAGACACAUUUUGAUGCCAUCUAGAACAUGGUUCAAAGACUCGACCGAGACAGAGAUGACUCGACCGGGUUGUCACUGGAAUGGGGCUUUUCGUUCCGAUAUCGAGACGAGAUAACUCCGAAAUAAUGAAUCGCCGCGAACUCGGCUGAAUCACCCAGAAAUCAGCCGAAACGAUUUCGAGAUGGAUAGAAAUGGUCGAAUCGCCCCGAGUCAUCUCGAGUCAACUCGAAUUUUUAUUAUUUUUACUAAUUUUUUAAUUAUUUUUGUUUAUCAUAUUUUUUUACAAUUUUUAGAAUAUUAAAUGUUUCAAAAAUUUGCAUCUAGCUGAGACCGUGACUAAUAUGUCGAAACUGAUGUAAAACGGUUCGGACCACAACCGCAACUUUGAACCAUGAUCUAGAAGGGAAAUCCAAAAAGAAAAUGAGCACACUGGAGGAUGUUUCUGUGCAAGGGUUUAGCUGUAGACGAUCUUAAGUUCUUUCUCUCAACCUAAUGAUUUGUUGAAAGGAAUUUGAAGGAAACAACUAUGAGUGGCAUUUAUCAAGAUUGCAUUCUUGAGGUCUAGGCUUAUUUUUAUAUUUCUAUUUCACUAAUGUCGAUACAUAAGAUUAAUUUCAUUGCUUGAUUGUUUUUGGGCUGCAAACCACUACCGACUGCAAAGUCUAUUGUUACCAGAUUUAAAAGUUUCAUUAUGAUUGGAAAGUUGGUACAUUAUUUGUAUAUUGUUAUAGGAAUCCCAUCCACCUUUCUGCUACGAAAUAGAACUAUAGGUUUACUGGUUGAUUUCCGGAUUAAUAUCUGCCAAUUCACCAGUGAAAUCAUCGUCUGCUGGUUCAACCUUAUUCUUGGGAGCUAAGAAUCCGGGUGCGUUUUUCUGUUUAAGCUGCUUUUCAAAUAAUUGAUCUUUGCCUCGCAUGACAUCUCUCCAUGGUACAGGUUCACUGGCCGGGUGGUCCAAGUCUGCCGAUCCUCGAGAAGCAUAGCCCCAUGAUUCACUGGCCUGCUUUUUGAACAGUUCAUCGGUUCGGUGAUCCAAGUCCCAUGGUUCACUACCUGGCUUUUCGAAUAAAUCAUCUCCGGCUCGAGUGACAUACCCCCAUGAUUCAGGUUCACUGGCUGGGUGCUCCAAGUCUGCUGGUCCUGGAGGAACAUAGCCCGAUGAUUCACUGGCCUGAUCUUUGAACAAUUCAUCAGUUUGGUGAUCCGAGUCCCAUGGUUCACUAACUGGCUUUUCCACUAAAUCAUCUCCGUCUCGCGUGACAUAUCCCCAUGGUUCAGGUUCACGGGCUGGCUUCUCAAGUAGUUCACUGGCUUGGUCAUCAUCAUGUUUCCAGUCAUCAACUGGUUGAAUGCGGUUUUCAGUGGGGAGUGCUGAUGGUGAUAUUCCUUCACUGGGAUCUAAAAGGAGUCUACUAUGAGCAGAACCAACAGAUAAAAAUAUCAGAAGCAGCAUUCCCAUGCUAGCAAGAUCUCGUGAAGCCAUAGCGAGAUCUUGCAGUUAUUGCCAAACUGAAUUGCAAUGACAUAUCUGUGAAUCUUUAGGCUUUAUAUAAAGGGCACAAUCAGAGAGUUGUUCAGUGGUUAGAGGGAACUGAUUGCGUGACUCGAUAAAAGCACGGGCUGAAAACUGCACCAGUAGUCCUGGUAUUACGGAGUCAUGCAAUUUGUGUGGAAAGUUAUCUACAAGUACAAUGGCUGAUAUUACUGCCCACAAGAUUUGAGAUUAAUGCCUUCCAAUGAAAUUAUUUCCAUUGCAACAGCAUCAGGAGUGUGACACUAAGAAUCUAAAGAGGGAACCCUCUUGCAAGGAACCAAAUUCUUGUGUCUCACAAGACAUUAAUUUGUUUACUCACGGGUGUUUGCAUGAAAAACUACAAGUACCAUCCAGCUAGUUAGUCGUUGUGGGAGAGAACAUACUGGCUUACACAAGUAAGUGAAGCAUGCCUUAGAGAACGCUAUCCAGGACAAAAGCAAUGACACUUUGUGGUCUGAGACUUCUGUACAUCAACCGCAUCAGAUAAUUUUACAAACAAGCCUUCUUCCUAAACACUAAAAUAAGAAUGACCCUAUGUCACUACAAUUUGAAGACACAAAACAAAGUAAUGAAUCCGAACUAGGGCAGCAACAGAACAGAGCUCAUCUUUCAGAACAAGAGCUUGAAUAUUUCUUUCAAUGUUAGCUCUAUUCUAACAUAAGACAAUUAAGGACAGGCCAAUACACAUUUAGAAAGAUACUCUCUGCAGUCCCCUAAACACUGAAUAAUUUUGUUGUAUACUAAAUGUUUAACACGUUUUGUAAAGCUUACAGAAAUUGGUUGAAAUUGACCAUAAAGCACCAACCUCUACGACCCAGUCACAGUUAUGUUAUGCGCAUGAUUCAAGCAUGCCAAAGCAACCAAACAUCUAAAGUCUAAACCCACUAUAUUACUCCAAAAGAACAAGUAAAUCAUUUAUUAAAACUAACCAAUG